CUAGAUGUGCCCAGAGUUAUCCGUUGAUGAUAUCCAUUUACAUUUCGUUGGAUUGGUUUAGUUCGAACCCUAUCUUCUCCAAAUAAAUGACUUAGAUACUUUAUGGUUCAGUGACUUUAAUUCAUGUUAGAUAUCUAUAGUUUUGUGAAGUUAAAUGAUGUUAUUUUGUUAUUAUCAAAUUUAAUUGUGAAAAUAAUUUUCUACCCCUCGUGGUAGCGCAUUAAAGAAAAGGUUUCCGAAUGGGAAAUGGUUUUUAAAAGGUUUUCUUGUGAAAAUGUAAAUAUACGUUGUGUUGUGAUUGAUUGUGGUUGCACUUGUACUCGUGCGAUGCCGUGUAAAUACAAGGAAGACUCUGUCCAUGUGAUCAGUGAGUUUCCUGUAUUUGUGGUUGAUCUGUCAUCCCUUGGGUCAAGAUUUUCAAAAAAGAUAAAAGUUUGGGUAUUUUUUCGCUGACUUACAACUAAAAGGGGAUCCCGGGGCGUGACAUAAACUCUCAUACCGGUAUUAAAAAGAAAUUCCACAGCCCUAGUGCCGGUACCUGAAAACGCAUAUUGGUACGCAAUACAAAAUCCAGUUUUUUAAUUGUUCGGGUUUUGCGGCACCCAAAUCUAGUACCGAUAUCUCGUGUUCCGGUACCCAAAUCUUAGUAUUGGUACUCAGUGCCCGAAAAGUGAUUUUCACAUCUAAUUCAUAUAAUUCAAGUUAAUUUCACAAAAAUUAAGAAUUGUACUCUAAAAUUAUAAUGAUAAAAAUAAAAUAUUAUAUGAUUUCUUAAUUCAUAUAUAACUGAAAAUUAAGUCAUAAAAAAUAAUCUAGCGGCUCAAAGAUUAUCAAGAUGUAAUGGAUCAUGAAAAAUGACUUAUAGAAAUUUACCAAAAAAUGACACCAAUUUGUCGUAUAAACGUUCAAAUUUGAGACUUAGCAAAUAAAGCACCGAGGGUGGCUCUUUGAGCAUCCUUUCAAUAUAUCACCUUAUAACUCCGAAAAAUUUAAAAUAUGCAUUUUUUUUCAACCUUUUCAGUUACACAAUCAAUAUCCAUGUGGUAGCUUCACACACUUACCGGAUGACUGGGGUGGUAGCUCUUUCCUAUAUGUGGUGGUAGUUUUUACACUCCUUUUGAGAUGUAACUCUUUCCACAUCUUUCAAUUUUAGAGGUUUUUUUAAAAAUAUUCUACCUUUUUUUUUAAUAAAACAAAUUUUCACUACAAAAAAAGCGGUCUUUACCGACGCUUUUUAGGUCAUAUAACGACUCACCAGAGCGUCCCCAAUAUUGCCGCCGACGCUUCACAAAGCGUCGGGAAGUGGGUUAGUAAACACAGUGACGGGAGAAAAUUGCGGACGCUUGUAAAAGCGUCGGUAAACAUGCCGACGCGUGCAUGCCGACGCUUUAUCGUGCGACGGUAAGUAUGUCCGACGCAUAAAAGCAUCGGCCUAUUGGUCAUUGUUUCGGAAUAAAAUGAACGUAAAUAUUUGUUUGCCGACACGCAAAAGCAUCGGCAAUGAUUUUUGUUAGCGACGUUUUAAAGCGUCGGCAAACGUUUUUGUUCGCGAUGCUUUAAAGCGUCGGCAAAAUAGUUAAUUUGAUACUUUUGUAUUUCUAAAUAGUGACGCUUUGGUGCUCGGCAAUUCCAUAGUGUAUAUUAAUUAAUUAUUUUUUUUAUAAUUUUUACCAGAAAAGAUAUUUAUUGUUUAAUUUAUUCAACCAAGAAUUAAAAUCUACUAAUCAUGCACAUCAAUAAUAAAAAAUACCAAUGACAACAAUAACACAAACAUAUAUACACACAAACAUAUAUAUGAAAGCACAUAAUAUAGAAACUUCAUACCAAUAUAUUUUGUUACUAAGUCAAAACAGUAAUAAUUCGUCCCUCAGACCGCUUUCUCAAAUUUUUUGAUGUGCUCUUUACCAGCUGGAAGAUCAAGUGCUUGUUUAAACCUCUCUGAAUCUAUCCCAAUAGGAAACUGGAAAGUUUAGGCCAAAGUGUGUAAGAACCAUGAACACCAAGACUAGAAAAGGAUUUAGUAAAAAAAAAGAAUGAUUUGAUCUAUGAACAAAUUAGGUAAUUACAUAAAGCACGCAUGAGUAAUGUUUGAAAAUAGUUGUAAUACAUUUUUUUAAGACUUAUCUAAUAUAGAUUAAGCAAUUUGAAAACUAAUGUGAUACAAUGCAUACAUACAAAAAUGUUGAACAAUAUGAUGCAAUAAUAUAAUAAGAGUGACAAGGUGUAUCAUACCGCUGCCACUCUCGUCAGUUUUCCUUGAUCUUUUACCCCUUCUGGUGUGCCCUCAAGCCCAAGAAUUCUUGCGCAAGCACUAAUGAAGUGUCUUACAUAAUUGUAUGCAUGGAAACUGAAGCAUGAAAUUCUUAGUAAUAGUAAAACAACUAAUAGAAAAAUAAUUAGAAAGAGAUAAAACUAUUUUUUUUCCUUUAGAGAAAAAUGAUAUAAAAUCACGGUAUGUAAAAUAAAUAGAAAAUAAAUACAUACCAAAAAUCCAGGAUCAAAACAAGAAUAUAAGAUAACUCACAGAGCGCUAUAGAGAAGAGAUUCUUGAUUAAUCUUGCGGAAGCUGGAAGUCCGGCUACGAUCUGAAAGUCACGAACCGAACUUGAGUGAUUUGAUUUCUCCCCCUAUCUCAGGCACUCUGCCGUAUGGUGUGGAACCGAUGGUAAUUUUUCACCAGAAUGCGUAUGAGAAGGUGGCAGGACCAAUACCCCUUUAUAUAGAGUCCAAAUCGACUUCCCAUCAAAGUCUGAUUAGGAUUCUAUUUAAAUUUAAAAUAGAUGGGAUAGGGAUAAAAUAUACCAUAUCAAGUAGUUCUAUAUCUGUUAGGAUUGACCUUUAUCUAUAGCAAAUCCUAAUUUAAAUAUAAUUAAUUGGGCCACAAUAUAUGGAAAUCCUAACAAAAAAAACAUGCAUUGAAACUAGAUGGCCACAGGAAUUGCUGGUUUCAACCAUAGCUACACAGAGCAACACAAAAUUUUCGAAAACACAUUCCCUUCCUCUACAUUUAAAGUUAAACUCAAAUUAAAAUCUAAAUCUCAUAGUAAAAAACCCUAAUCCACUACCCAAUUCAAAUAAAUGGGUUGAAUCUCGCACUCUUCGUGGCUCCAAACCAUGGGAUUUAAAUUUUGAACCAAAAACAAUUGAUAAAAGGAAAAAUCAAACCAGAAAAAGAAUCGAUUCUUCUCGAUGUGUCGGCGUCGAAAUCCUAGCUCCUCUCCCGCUCGCUUUCUCUUCCUUCGCCGCAGGAGACCGGCGAGUUGUCGCCUUCUAAAUGAAGAGGGGAAGGCAGAGCAGCGUGAGGUGGAGUAGGGCUAGAGGGCGGCGCGCGACCUGGAUGGAGGAGGUGGCGACGACGAGGCGAGGAAGGCGCGGAUUUGGGAGAGGGAGCCAAACCCUAGCGUACGUUGGGAGAGGGAGGCGCUAAGGAGAAAGGGUUGAGCGGAAGAGAAAGGAAUGAGAUGAAAAGUGCCCAAAUAAAAAAUAUAGCUAAAUAAUUUUAAUAAUAAUAAUAAAUUAUCUAACCUCUUUUGUUUCCCUCUUUUGUUUCCCGCGCAUUAUAAAUAACGACGCUAAACCCUAGCGUCGGUAAAAUUUUGACAGUAGAAAAAAUUGCUGACGCUUUCUAAAAGCGUCGGCGUAAAAGCGUCGGCACAUGCAUAUUUUUCUGUAGUGAAACUCCUCCUAAAAUAAGCAAUCUUGCAUUUUAAAAAAAAUUUGACAAAUUUUAGUCAAUUAGCGAAUAACCAUUCAUCAUAUUCAACACUCACAAUCGAGAUAAAAAUGGAGUAAAACUGAUAAUUAAUAUGAACUUAACUCAAAAUGAAUAAAGUGAAUUUGAGAUGUUCAAGACACUUUUCAAGUUUGAUCACCCAAAGAAAAAUUCAAACAAAAAAAUUUCAAGCAAAAUGAACAUCCAAACAUGUAAUGUAAUGAUCAAAGAUAUGCAAUGAGUAUCAACCAAAGCACUACACAAAAAUCAAAACAAAUUAAGAUUUAAGACAAGGAAAUAUAUCACCUUUCCGAACCCAAACUUGCCGGAUUGUUGGUUUCCUUAGUUUGUGGCCGUUGGGCACCGUUUGCUUUGACUUCCGAUCAAUCUUUGGUCUCCAUUUUGCAUUCGACUUCGUGGGAUUUUUUGUUGGGACUUCGACUUUGGAUUGAUCUUUGACACUCGACUUGGUUGAUGUUGCUUUCGAUCCGUAGGUCAUGUCGAGUACUAGAGGAUGCCAAUUGAUGUUUCUUUCCUUUUCUAGGGCAUGUCUUUUCGAUGUGACCUUUAUUUCCACAUCUAUAACAAACUUUCUCAUUCAAAUUUGUUGAGACUUUGAGUGUUGAAUUUGAACCUUCUCAACAUAUAUCCGCUCAAAUCUAAGCCCAAGUUUGUCCGUUUGACCCAAUCCGAGCAUAUGAUCUAGCUUUUUCAAUCUGGAGGAAAACUUGUGAAUGUCGGAUUUGAGUUGAUGAACUUGGUUGGUCAAGACUUGGUUGGAUGAUUGAAUUUCUUCAUGUUGUUUUUCUAAAAAAACAAUUUUUCCUUGAUAUGAUUUAACAAUUGAUUCCGAUUCAUUAAGUUUCUCUUGGAGGAUUUUGUUGUUCUUCAAUAUCGAUUCCCUUUCCUCCUCAAGAGCUUUAUUGGUGAUCUUUAAUGUUUUGUUCCCAUCUUCUAGCUCAAGCAUUCGUUUGCUUAGCUUCUCGCUGUGUUUAAUCAUCUUCUUUGAUUCAAUGAGAAGUUGUUGGUAUGCCUCGACCAAGCUUUCAUCAACCGACUCCCCCUUACUCUCGCCAUCAUCGCUCAACGUUCCAUGCAAUAAGGGAGAAACAAAAGAGUCAGAAAUAAUAGAUGGUAAACAAGUAAUAGAGGAAGAAGGUAAAGAAGUGUGAGACACUAAAGCUAUGGCAUUAUUCUUCUCCUCUUCACUUGAGAUCGAUUCAUCUGAAGUAGCAUCAUCCUAAGUUUUUGCUUGCAAAGCCUUCUUCUUAUAGGAUUUCUUAGUGGGACAAUCCGUAUAAAUAUGGUCAUAACCUUUGCAUUUAUAGCACUAGAUUCCCCCUUCAAAAUUAUCUUUUUCUUUAAAAGGUUUUGCAAGUUUUUUGUCUUUUGAUUUUGAGCUUGAAAAUCCUUUUGAAAAAGAUUUUUAUUUUGUGGAUGAGGCUUUGUUCUUCCGAAAGUUCCAACGAAAUUUCUUCGUUAAAAGUGUCAGUUGAUGUUCAAAGUCGGCUAGCGAAAUUUCUCCGUCGGAAUUCGAGUCAUCCUCCUCCUCCUUAGUAGAUUUGAGUGCAAUUCCUGUACUUUUAGAAGAAGACUUGACAGAAAAUUGAUUAGUAGGAAAAGUCAUUUCAUAUGUUUGUAAAGCACCAACUAAUUUCUCAACUUUCAUUUCAUCCGGAUGUUUAAUGGUUUCAAUUGCCGCAACCUUCGGACGAAAUCUCUCGGAAAGAGUUCUCAAGAUUUUUCUUACAACUUUAGGUUCCGAAAUUCUCUCACAAGUUCGUGCAUGUAUUAACUAUGUCUUGAAGUCGAGUAUAGUACUUGGUAAAAGUCUCAUGUUCCUCCAUACAAAUUGAAUCAAAUUUACUUAUUAAAAUUUGUAAUUUUUGGACCUUUACCAAGCUAGUUCCUUCAUGCGUAACUUGAAGAGUAUCUCAAAUUUUCUUUGCCGUUUCAAACGUCGAAAUGCGUGAAAACUCGGUUUAAGAUAAAGCGUUAAAUAAAGCAUUAAUUCCCCUACCGUUGUAAGACGAUAAAUCUUUCUCUUCCUUACUCCAUUUAUCACGAGGUUUUGGCUUUUCAACAUUCUCAACUUUUUCAGUAGGAUGUUUUUAUCCAAAUUCGAUGGAUUGCCAAACCCGCUCGUCAAUGGCUAUUAGAAAGACUCUCAUGCGAACCUUCUAAUAAGUGUAAAUAGUCCCAUCAAAUAACGGGGGCCUAUUAAUGUUACCUCCUUCACUUAUAAUGAAAGAUAAACCUAGAUCCCGCUCUGAUACUACUUGUAGAUUAUGGAAACCCUAGGAUAUAUCUAGAUACUCUCAAACACCUAAAGGGGGGUGAAUAGGUGUGUAGGCCAAAAACACAAAUCUCAAUGCGAUAAAAGUAAAUGCGAAAAAUAAAAUAGCACACCGAGAUUUACAUGGGAAAACUCCAAUUUGGAGAAAAAAUCCAGGGAAUCAACACGCGAAAAAAUAAUCCACUAAGAGAAAAAGAUUAUAAGGUGAUUACCGACUCUAUGGACUCGACCUCUCUUUGACCUCCUACGGAUCUCGCGCACGUCACCAGGUUGUCCACGCCCUACGUUCGAAUCCACAGACACCACUAGAAUCCUCGAGCACUCACGAUUCGAAUCCACGAGUCGCCUUGAUCACGCCGAAUCCACGACGCCGCACAUGAAGAGUAAAUUCAUGUUUAUAUAGUGAUCCUUUGCUUAGAGUAUCGCUGAAGGACCAGAGAAAAAUCUCUAAGAAAAACUUAGAUCAAUUCGACAUAUACAUAUUGAAUUCAAUAUCUCGAAUUGACCUAAAGAGGCUAUUUAGUGGAAAAUGGUUUAGAACGAAAAACCUAGCUUAUAGAGUUACUCUCUCAUGUAUUCUGAGUGCUUCAUCGUCAGAGAACCCUACCAUCAUAUUUAUAGACUUUAGAAUCAAUUAUGGUCGGAUUAGAGUCAUAUUAGAAAAUUUAUACAUUGACUACCGGUACUCGAAUGUGGGUACCAGUACGCCAUGACGCAACCGAAAUUUCCUAAUACUGAGUACCGGUACUCUGCCGAUGCCGUACUGGUACUCGGCCGAUGCAGUACCGGUACUAAAACCUGGUACUGGUACACAAUUCAAUCCGCAGAAUUGUUGCUCUCGGAUUAUGAGGAACUCAAUAUUGGGUAUCUGUACUUAAUAUAAAAAAUUAGGUUUUUCAACCCGAUUUUGAGGAACUGGAACCUGGUACCGGAACACAAUAUAAAAUAUUGUUAUAAACAAUUCAAAAGUUCCAAAAAUCAUUUCUAAUCCAUUAAUUAUUACUUAUAUGAUUCUAAUGUCAUAAAUCAAUAUGAAUCACCAUAAAAAACAUUUAAAUUAUACUUGAGCACCAUGAUUCAAUCUGCGAGAUGUUUUUGAGUUCUUCUAGCAAUCUCGGAUUCUUCCACCAUCGACAAAACGAACCAAACUCUUCAAUACUCCCACUCAAAUCACGAAACUUGCCAAUACAAAAUCCCUAAUAUGAUGGACAUAGUAGAGGUGGACCUUCAUAUAGAUCUAGAUCCUAUACGAACUACUACUGUUUACAUGCAGUGGUAUUGGAGGAUCACCAAGAGGUGGAUAUCUAGGCCAGUACAGCGUCCACCUCUCAUGUAUCAAGCACGUGGAUAUGUCGAGAGAGUAUUGGUAUAAUUUUAAUAUAUAAUAUCUCUUUAUAUUUAUUUUUAUAUAUAAAAAAAGUUUAGUGUAAUUUUCAUGAUGCUGCAUUUAUUUUAGGUAGAUGACGUGUCCGGCCAGAUAUUCGAUAUGGCGGAGUAUUAGAAACCCUGACACAAGUUGCCAAUCAAAUGGAAGCAGUUUUGUAGACUUUACCUACGCUUUCAGACACUGUACCUCUACGGCUAGCAGAACCUGGUGGACUAUCGAUGUCGGGCCAUGUACUACUAUAUAUAGUCCACCGAGGCCAUCUUCACUGAUAGAGGAGCCACUUUAUCAUCCAGACACAGUACCAGUACUAGAGGAUCCACCUCGACCAGCUGAUAUUGUUUAUCGUAGGCGCCGACGGCAAUUGCAAUCUCUCCACGGAAAUCAGCCCUCUUCUUCAGCUCCUCCACGACCAGACAUAGUACCAACAACUACUAUGGUUGAGCACGGGAUUAGAUGGGUGAUAGUGACACAGGACACUCAGCUAGUUGUUGAGGGUGCUGCUACUGAACAUCCCGACCAGUUGGAAGUCAUAGAGCCCUUUGAUGAGUAUGGUGUUGAUCGUGGUCGCGGCCGUGAUAGGGAACGUGUAAGUAGACGUAGUCGAGAGACUAGGAGGAGGACAUGACAUUACAUUUUGUAAAUUUUAAAUUGCACAGAACUUUCUAUAUUAUUAAAAAAUUACUAUAUUUUUUGAUAUUUUAUUAUGAUGAUAUGGUAUUGAUGUUCUAUUGAUGAUGUAUUGUUGUAUUGAUGUUGUGUUGUUGUGAUGGAUUUGUUGUUGUGUUGUUGAUGUUGAAUUUAUUGUGUUAUUGUGUUGUUGGAUUUUUGGUGUUGGAGAGGAUGCUGCCUGGGUUGGAGUUCUACUAAACACGAUGAACCAUUCACCAUGUCCAAACAUGAUGAAUGGUUCACCGUGUUUAGUGUAUUAUACUGGUUGAGAACGGGAUCAACAUAAGUUUUGAAUAGUACGGUGAAUCGUUCAUUGUUUGGACACGAUGAAUGGUUCACUAUAUUCAAUUUAACAAUGCACUACCCAACCUGCUAGCGUGGCGCUUACGUGGCCGCUCGCGUGGUAGGACUAUUUGUGAAAAAAAAAAUUUGAGGGGGCCAAAUACAAAAAAAAGCCCUUAUUAAAUAUGAUGACAUUCUUUACAUUUUAUUAAUUCCUUUUUAUAUUUUUUCCUAUUUUAUUAAAAUAAAUAAUAAUAUUUUGUAUUAAUGAUAUAGUAGAUAUGUUAACUCAAUAAUUUUAAAUGAUAAUUGGAAACUGAUUUGAAAUGACAAUGCAGGUAUAUUUUAUAAACAAUUAUUUUUUAUUAUCGACUGUCCAUAGAGCAAGUGCCAAAGGGUUUGGUGGUUGGUACUCGAGACCCAAGUUCGAAUUCUAGUUGAUUCACAUUUCUAGCUAAGUUUAUUUCUAAAUGAAAUAAACGAAGCGGGUAGCGUGCUACCUAUCUCUCUAAAAAAAAAAACAAUUAUUUUUUAUUUAUUUAGUUUCAACUAUAUGGUAUAAGAAGUUGAAUCGAAAUAUUAAUCGCUUUUAUAUUCAUUUUUAUCUUAUUGAAGUUAUGGUAAAAAUGUAAGCACACUCCUANUUUUUUUUUUUUUGAGAAAAAAGUAGCACGCUACCCGUUUCAUUCAUUAGAAGGAUGAAUUAGGCUACAUGGGUGAGGCAACAUUGGCUUCGAUGGGGGUGGAAAAAAAAAAUUAUGGUAAAAAUUUAAUGAAUGAAAUUUUAGUCGCUUUUAUAUUCAUUUUUAUCUUGUUGAAGUUAUGGUAAAAAUUUAAGCACACUCCUAGUUUUUUUAAUUUAUAUUAUAUAUUAUUUAAUUAAUGAUAUUCUUUAUAUUAUUUAAUUAUACUCAAAAUCUAAAAUCUUCUACAUAUUACAAAAUAAAAUUUUUUGUUUUAGAAAAAAAUUGUGCAUGCGAAUAUCCGAAAACUUAAAAUCAUAUAUGUAGUCGAUCACAAUGUAUGAUGUUAAAAGCAUACAAAAUUUCGUGCAUAAUUUUGAGCCUUCACAAACAAAACUAUUUUUUCACCCAAAAAAAUUUCUGAAAUAUAAUUGAUGUACUGUUCAUAAUAUAUUUAUUAUUAUUUUAUUUUAUAAUAAUAUGCACUGUUAUAAUCCGCAAUGUAGCUUGGAAUUUUCACUAUUUUGUGUGUGUUAAGUGUCUAUUUGUUUGGAUAAAAGUGGAGAGGGGUGAAGUUGUUUUCGACUGUAAAUGAUUAUUUUUGCUUUUUGUUUCGUCGUUUUAAAGAUACGGUCAAAUCUCUAAUUACCUGAAACAACAUAAUUGACUUCAGCUUAUCUCGGUAAAAAAAAGUAAAGAAAAUUAAUAAAAUAAUAUAAUAAGUAAUGCUAGUUAUAUUUAAAUAAUUUAAUUAUGUACUAAUUACUCUUUUAUUUAGUUUGUAUGUUUAAAAUAUGAAAAAAUUUGAUUAGUUAUGUUUUAUUGUUUUCUUCAUUUAGUUUGUAUAUCUAAAGUAUGAUGAAAAUUCAUUAGUUAAGUAAUUGUAUUUUUUUUUACUUUGUAAUUUUAUUAUUGUAUUAUUAUAAUUUAUGUAUAAAAAAUAAUUUAGUUAUUUUAGAUAAAAUUUUUUAAAUUAUAAUAAAAAUAUAAUUACAUUUUAUUUAUCAAUUAUAUUAUAAUUUAUUAUUUAUUAAGUUAUUUAUUAUUAUAUAUAAAUUAUAGUUUUAUUUUAUUUACUUUUUUACCUGUAGAAGUGAAGAAACUUUACUUUUAUAACUAUGAAACAACAGCUUCGGCCCCUUUUUUUUUUAUAUAUCUAGUUUGCAUUUUUAACAUAUAAUAAAAAUUGAGAUAUGGUCGUAAUAAAGAUAUGUUCAAAACUCUUGGCCGAACUCAAUUAUGGUGAAGGGAGGUAAAAAAUAAUAAAAUAAUAUAAUGGAUAAUGCUAGUUAUAUUUAAAAUAUAUUUAAUUAUGACGGUAAUUAUUUUUUUAUUUAGUUUGCAUAUUUAAAAUAUGGUAAAAAUUGAUUAACUAAGUUUUAGUGUUUUCUUCAUUUACUUUGUACAUUUAAAAUAUGAUAAAAAUUGAUUAGUCAAGUAUUAAUAUUCUUUUUAUGUUAUAAUUUUAUUGUUUUAUUAUUAUAAUUUAUAUAUUAAAAAAUAAUUUAGGUGUUUUAGAUUUAUUUUUAAUUGUAUUAAAAUACAAUUAUAUUAUUUUUAUUAUUUAUUAUUUAUUAAGUUAUUAUUAUUUAUACAUAAAUUAUAAUUUUAUAUUAUUUAUUUAUUUAUAAUUAUGAAAAUAAAGAGUGAAAAAAUACGAACUCUAUUUUGAUCUAAAGUUAAUUUCAAAUUUUCAAUCCAAAAAUUAAUUUGGGUAAAACAGACAGCCCCUGAUAAAGGUCGGUCGGUGAAGCGGUGGCGUGGCGUUUCAGCUUUGCAGACGCUGUCGUUCUUCAACUAAAUAAGGCCCCCGUCAAGGCAGCGUCUCGAUCCCGUAAAGGCGUAACCCUUGCUCCUACGCCGAUCAUAUUAUUAUUUAAUUUAUUAAUUAAUUAUUAUUAAUUAAAAAUCUUCGGUUUUCGGUCCAAGUUAGGGAUGCAAAUGGAUCCGGGUUGAUGGAGCUCCGCCCGAUCCGCCCCGAAUGGAGUGGUAAGUGGGAACAAAAAAUAUAAAAAAAUAUAAUCCGUCCCGAAUCCGCACCGAUCCGCCAAAUAAAUGGAGCGGGAGGUAAUCCGCGCCCGAAUGAAACGGUAAGUGGGAGGCAAAAAUAAAAUAAAAAGUAAUCCACCUCGAAUCCGUCCCGUCCCGAUAAGAAAUGGAGCGAGAGGUGGGAAAACUCUCCGCCGCCGGAUCCGCCCGGCUUGCAUCCCUAGUCCAAGUCUUCCAGCUUGGCGCAGCAGUACAAAACUACCGCACGAUUUGCCGUGCGACCGCCGCGAACAUGAACCGCCACGUUUCCGUGUAUGUAUUGCCGCGUGGGGUCUACCACCGCGUAUUCUCCCCGUCCUGCUGCGUCGCCCGUUCCCCACGGCGCGGUUGUUGCACUCGUCCCCCUUCCCCGUCCUACAAAAGAGGGGAAACGAGGGGGAAUCGAGGCGGAUCGUCUCUUCGAUUUUCGUUUCCCUCCUCUUCGCAUUCGGAUCUCGACUCGGGCGUUGCGGGCAGAAUUUGCUCCGAUGGGAACUCCGGAGUUUCCGGAUCUCGGGAAGCACUGCAGCGUCGACGACUGCAAGCAGAUCGAUUUCUUGCCCUUCACCUGCGACAGAUGCAGUCAGGUACUCUCUCCUCUUCUCUCCUCAAUUUUAUGUAUAUUCCCGUCCCGUAAAUAAAUUCGGGGUGAUUUAUCUUUUUCCCUUUUUCCUUUUCCCUUUGGGCUUCAAGAUUGUCGUUUCCUGUUCUGCCUUUCUUCUUAGGUGAAGACCGCCGCAAAGCUUUACGAAGUAAUUUGUUAAUACGCCCCCUAACUCAUUACGUCGUCGGUGAACUUCAGUUAUCAUUUCAAGCGGAUUAUUUAGUCAGUCGACAAAUGACUGCCAUGAUGAUUGACCUAUUUUGCUAUUAGAUGAUGUGGAACUGGAAUUAACUUCCAUAUCAUUUUAAGAACAUAAAGGCUCAGCUGCUGCUCUGUCUUUAGGAAAUAACGAGGCAGCUGAAUUAGCAUUGUCAUUUCUAAGAGAUAAUAUGGCUAUGAGAUAAUAUGGUAGCCGGUGAGAAAUCACAGUUAAAACAGUUGUCGCCUCGUCUCUUCAUUAAGGGUAAUUAAAUAGAGUUUGACAGAACUAUCGAUUUAAACAACAAGUGUAAGGGCUUUAUUUCAGCCAAUUGAAAUUUUGUGCCCUCACCGGAAGGAAUUUCUAGAUAGAUUCAAUGAUUAGUGCGGUAAUUUACGCUGGUUCUCUCCUUCGACAUCUUUAUUUUGUGAAAAUCUUGCUUCGUAGAUGAGUGUUUGCAUUUCCACUUUUGUUUAAAGCUGAAGCUAAAUUACUCAUCUUCAUCACUUGAGGAAGAAUGCUCUUCUUCUCCUGCGUCAGAUUUGUCAUCUCCAUGUCUUACUCUUCUUCUUCUUCCUCUUUCUCUUCCUCUUCUUUUUCUUCUUCUUCCUUUUCAGCAAAAGAUCAGAGGUGAGGGUGGAGCGAAGAAGCAGAGGUCAUAGAGGAGAGGAGUAGAGUGACUAAAAGGGGAAGUGGAGAUGAGUGAGAGAGAGAGCGACUUGGAGAGAGAUCAAGAAAGAGUUAUUCAGAGAUAGAUCUAGGGGGGGCAAUUGGACCAAACCUAACUUAAUUUGGUUUCUCAAGAGGUUAGUUUAGGGUUUAGGAUUUCUUAACUAAUUAAACCCACUAGGCCCAAUAAGAAUGGAUCCAAACUGAAUAUUUAUAAGGCGUGCCCUUGAGCCUAGCCCCAGGAGUGCGCCUGGGCAAGGUCGGCUUGCCCAUGUUCUCCCUUGGUGUAGGCCUCUGGGCCUUGUAUGCAUAGGCGUGCGCUUAUGCAUAGUGUGCGCUUGUGCGUAGGCGUGCGCUGAGGCCUGCUUUAGCCAACAAAUUUUACAAGCUGCAUACCAAGAUCUUUAGUAUUUUUUAUUAGUAAUAAAUGGUACCAAAUCAAUCUAAUUAUGCAAAAUUAGGUUAAAUACUCAUGCCGUCAGUCUUAUCAUUGGAACAGUUUUAAUCCCCCUUUUUUCUUAAAAAUAUAAAAAAUAGUUUCCAUUAAAAGUGAUAAAGAAAAUACAAAAAGAAAUAAUGACUAAAUUUUCUUAUUAUAAGAAUUAACAUUUGAUUGAAUUAUCAUCAUAAACGAGACAACAAUAUAUAGAAUUACUCACAAUCUGAGUUAUAGAAAAUCACUACAUUUGAAACUUUUGUAUGUUAUAGAGACAUCCAUUUUCCAAUUGAGGGAAAAAGGUCUCAAAUUUGUAGGGAAGUACUAGCCACUAUAGCAGUCAUUUCUAGCUGUCUUGAUGAUCUUUGGCUUGAAACUUAAGUUUUUAUGAUGUUACUUUGCGAUGAUCUUAUGCUUAUAAUUUUUAUCUUACUGACAUCAAAGUUUUCUAUAUAUUUGUGCAUUAUUUGUUAACCUCAUAUUGGUCUUAUUUUGGAGGUGACAAGGUAUUUUGUUCUUUACUUUUUCCAUGUGUUAUUUUGUUCUUUAACAUUGCUGUUUGGUUGCCAACUAUACCCAGCGUAGUUGGUUAAGGGUUUGAUGGUUGGUCCACAAUGUCCCAAGUUUGAAGCCUAGUUGCUUCACAUUUCUAGCUAAUUUUAUUUAUACAAAAUACUAGCUUGCUACCUUUUCUCUCUCUCAAAAAAAAAAGUUAUUUGGUUUCUUUUCUUCUCUUCAUCUUUUAUUUUUUCCGGAACAUGAUUAUUUGGUUAUCUAUAAAAUGCUUAUUGUGAUAAUAUGAUGUUAAAGAGUCUUUAGUGCCAUUUAACAAUUGUUAGAAAAUAUAUGCCUGCACCUUGCACCUUGCGGCUAGGCUCUAACAGCUCUUUGUGCCUUAGUGCACCUUAGGCUUUUGCCAAACACCGGGAUCUGUACAAUUUCCAAGACUUUCUGAGAUUUGCAGUAGAGCCAAUCAUGUGGAAAUCCACGAAAGUGCAAAUAGGUUGGCCCACUUAGUAAAAUGUACAGGCAGCCAUAAACUAUCGCAAUAUUGCAACUUGGUCCCCAUACUUAUUUAAGUAAUUUGGAAAAUUUCGCAUAUAUUGCACUUUUAGACCCUAAUCAUUAAAAGAAUUUAGUCAUUCUUUUGAAAUAAUUAUAAUACCUCUGCGUAAAAUAGUUGUCAUAUUUAGUUUAAUGCAAGUUGGAUUAAAAAGGCACUUUUAUGGCAGAAAUCAUGGUUUUUCUUAACUGUUCAAGGACUAAGUGCAACAUAUGUCAAAGUUCAAGGAUUAUGAGUGGAAAUAGAAAGUGUAGGGACCAACUUGCAAGAUCAGAAUAGUACAGGGACUAUCCAUACAUUUUACCCUUUGAAAUUUCAUACUCCAUGUGAAAUCUGCUUAUAUGAAAUUAAAAUUCAUGAUAUAAGUGUUUUUUGUGUGUGUUCAUUUUGCUCUAUUCACGAAUGAUGUCAACAUUUGUCAAUUAAGCGAUUGCAUCCACAUGUGAGGCUGCAUGCUCUGUCUAUUAGAAUAGUGUUUAAAGAAGGACCUUUAUUCGAUUAAUCAUUAAAAGAGAACGGUGACUAUAAUAACUAAACCAAGAUCCUGGCGGCUAAGAUGUUGGCCCUUUUUACGUUAGCCUAAUUCGCAUGUAUAUCCAACUCAAAUAUAAUCCCUGUAAAUUCUUGGUAUCUGAUGUUGGCAUCAUUUUUCCCCUUUUUUGAUGGAAGUUGGCAUCAAUAAUUUGUACUGAACUCUUUAAUUGUUUAUGGACUAUACUAAUUCCUGCCACCUCAGAGAAUUUAUUUAUGAAGCUGACAUAGUACUUUUAUAGCCAUAUAUGCGCUCAUAGUUGUUCCACAUGGCACAAUGACCUAUAUUAUUUCGCGUGAUUUGGAAGAGAAUAGAUACUCUAUUUUGUCCUGGAACGUUCAAGAAUGAGUACUUGAGCUUUAUUUCUUGGCACAGUUAGUUUGCAAAUGGACUCAUCUUCUCUUUACUCUUAUAAGUAUGCGAUUGUUUCAAUUUCUAUUGUUUUUUAGAAUUUUAUUUGAUCUGGACUGAAAAUUAGGUUGAUUUUGAGAACUACUGGGCUGAUUUUCUCUUUCCUUGAAACCCAGUGUUAAGAUGUAUUUGUCUAAAUUUGUUAGUUUUUCAUAGGCGUGCAAACAUUUUAAGUUACAAUAUCUAUUUUAUUUAAUUUUGUUCUCCUCUUGAUGCAAACCGAGAGGUUGCCAAAAUUGAAUUUUCAAGUUUACUUUUGUUUAAAGGUAAAACUAGGUUCAAUUUAUCAAUUCCGAUGAACUUUGAGUAAGGAAGUAAAAAUUUCAGUAAGACAAAAAUUAAAAUCGAAUUGAAGUAAUACUAAGAUGAUGAUAAACCUUCAGUAUAUGAGAUAAUAACAACCAACUGAAAAUACAUAUAAUAGUUCCAAGAGGUAAAUUCGGCUUUAUCGGACUUAAAGCUUUAGGUUUGGUUGUUUGGCAAAUAUGGUUGGUAAUGGUGGAAGGCUAAAUUAAAAGGGGAUAAUAGGAUGUUAGGAGAUGAGAGAUACAAAAAGUGCACCGUUCACACGAUUGCGGGGGAUCCACGAUCGACGAGGAGGGCGGUACACCACGGGUAGAACUUCGGCAACGGGAAAGAAAAAGAUGAGGUAGUGACUCGGAAGAGGAGGGGUAGAAAUAGAAGCCGAUCUUGUUACGAGGAAGAAGUGACAACGAUCAAGUUGAGGAAGAAGACGAUCUCGGCGCGAGGAAGAAGCGUCGAUGAUCUCACCGGAAAGUAGAACACCAAGGAUAAAGAGUGAGAGUAGAAUUUUCUAUUCAUCCAAAUAUAUCUCCCUUAAGGCUUCAAGAACUAUAUAUUUAUAGUGUUGAGAGCCCUCCUAUAAUAAAUUAUUGUCUUUUCGUUUUCAACAUAACACGGUCACCUAAGAGUCAUGCAUAGAAAACGAAGCAAUUUUGGGAACUUCAAAAGUCUUUUUUUGGGAAAUUCCAAAGGUCUUUUUUUGGAUUGUUUCCUUGUUUAUUGGAGAAAAGAAUUUGGGUUAGUCAAAUCAACUAAAACUAAAUGAUUUAAGUCCGAAUCAAACACGAACCUACAAAAUAAAAGAAAAUUGCAAUCAAAAAUAAAAUGAGGUUUAUUUGCUGCAUCAGUUCCCCUCGAGUUGGGGAAAUCUCGACUCCGUCGAGAUGGCAUCCUGAUAGCUCUGGUAUAAGUCCUCUCGAAGUUGGCGCAACUCUGCCUCAGAAAUCCAACUGCUAUUGGAUAAUGGUCGUCCAUGCCAAUGCACCAAGUAUCGGUGAUGAGUACCACGUCGCGUCGCAGACUCGCACACAUCCAGAAUAUCCUCCACACCAUCUACUGGAGUUUCAAUGUCGGAGUGAGAUGUCAAGCCAUCAAUAUCGACAGUAGAGGGAGCCUCUCCAUGAUACUCGUACAGCUUGCUAACAUUGAAGAUUGGGGACGUCGGUACUUCUGAGGGUAGAUCAAUUAGAUAAGCGUUUUCCCCUAACUUCUUCAGAAUUUUGAAUGGUUCGUACUUUUUCCUGUUCAACUUGCUAUAGCCUCCAGCUGGGAACCUUUCUUUCCUAAAAUAGAUCAAGACAUUAUCUCCUUCAUUAAAAGUCAUACCUCGGUGAUGUUUAUCCGCUGACUCCUUGUACUUGACAGUAGAACCCCGCAACCUCUGAUGAACCUGUUGUUGCACCUCUUGAAUCUGUUUUAGCUAAUAGUCGGCAUCUGCACUAACUCUACCAGGGUAAGGUAUUGGUGCUCGGUCAAGAAAGUGGGCAAUAGGACGGCCAUAUAAGGCUUCAAAAGGAGAUUUUCCAAUGGUUCGGUUUAUGGAACUGUUAUAAGCAAAUUCAGCUUGAGGUAAAAUUAAAUCCCAUUGUGUUAGUUUUUCUCCAGCUAAACAUCUUAAGAGAUUACCCAAAGAUCGAUUUACUAUUUUCAUCUGUCCGUCAGUUUGUGGAUGGUAUGGGCUGCUGAAAUUCAAUUUGCUUCCUGCCUUUGACAUUAAAGUUUUUCAAAAAUAACUAACAAAUUUUGUAUCUCGGUCAGAGAUAAUUGAUUUAGGAAUGCCAUGUAAACGUACAAUUUUAUUCAAAAUAGUUUUGCAAUAUGUGAUGCAUCAGAAGUUUUCUUGCAAAGAAUAAAAUGAGCCAUCUUCGUAAACGAUCAACAACCACAAAAACUGAAUCAACUUGGCGUGUAGUCUUGGGUAAGCGUAGGACAAUUUUCCAAUGACUGGUCGCAAGACUUGUGCUAUAAAUCAGAAUGUCGUCGAAGUAAACUACGACAAAUUUUCCAAUAAAUGGUUGCAAGACUUGGUUCAUAGAGCGCAUGAAAGUACUAGGGGCAUUGGAUGGCCCAAACGGCAUAACCAGCCACUCGUAUAAUCCUUCUUUAGUUUUAAACGCUGUUUUCCAUUCAUCUCCAGGUCGAAUACGGAUUUGAUGAUAUCCGCUUUUACGGUCAAUCUUAGAGAAUAUCUUCGCACUUCCUAACAUGUCAAGCAUAUCAUCAAUCCUAGAAAUGGGAAAUCUAUACUUGAUGGUAAUUUUGUUGACUGCACGACUGUCAACACACAUUAGCCACGUACCAUCCUUUUUUGGUGUAAGGAGAGCAGGCACCGCGACAGGGCUCAUAUUUUCUCUAAUGUAACAUUUUUGCAGAAGUUCAGAGACCUGCUUAUGUAACUCUUCAUGUUCAACGAGACUCAUCCUAUAAUAGGCUAGGUGUGGAAGACUAGCACCGGGUAGAAAAUCAAUGCAGUGUUGGAUGUCUCUCAUAGGUGGAAGGUCAUCGGGGAGUUCCUCAGGCAUGAUAUCAGAAAAUUCAUUAAGCAAUGGUUGAACAGUUUGAGAAACUUUAGUGUUCUUCGAUUUUUCUUUUGCCAAAAGAAUAUAUACCAUUGGAGACUUUGCUAGAUCUUUAGAGAAUUGGCUUUUGUUCAAAACCAUCAUUUUCUGCUCAUUAUUGGAGGGUUGCCUUUGGGACUCAAUUGCCUUAGAUUUUGGUUUGGGAAAGUAAUUCAGGGGAAACAAUCUAAAUUUUUUGUUGUCCUUUGUGACAAUGUAAGUGUUCUCCCUACCAUCAUGUAUAGUGCUACGAUCAAAUUGCCAAGGUCUACCUAACAAUAGGUGACUCACAUCCAUGGGAAUAACAUCACACCAAACUUUAUCAAUAUAAGUUUUUCCAAUAGAAAAUUCAACAAGACAUCUUUCAGUUAUAGGAAAUUCAUCCCCAUCCUUAAACCAAGCUAUUUUGUAAGGUUGAGUAAGUUUUUCAGUUUUCAGUUUAAGUUUAUCAACCAUUUCUCUAGAGACAAAGUUUCGGUACUACUAUCAAUGACGAGAGAGCAAAACUUGCCUCCCGCGCUACAGAUGGUUCUGAAAAGGCUACGACGCUUCCAAUCAUCUUGGGUGGACUUAGAGGCUGAUAGGACUCAAUGGAGCAUGAGAUUUGUUUCAGUAGCAUCAGGAGAUUCUUCGAAAAUCUCAUCUACAUCUUCUUGUUCUAAAGUUUCUUCGCCAUUUUCAUUUUCUUCAUGACUUUCUAUUAGAUUGGCUCUAGAAUUAAAUUUUCUCAGAAGGCAAUCAGAGGAUUUAUGUUCAGGUUUGUUACAUUUAUAACAAAUAAUGCCAAAUUCAACGGGUUUUGCACUUAAAAUUCCUUUGCCCUUAAGGUCUUGAACAGGUUUUGAAGAGGUUUGACUAUCGUUCUUUGGGAUAGGCUUAGUUCCUAUGGUGUUCUUUUCGCUCGCACUUUCCUAACGAAAGGUUUGUCUUUUAAGUUUAUUCUCAGCCUUAAGUGCAAGACUAUAAGCCAUGUCGACCCUGUAGAAAGUUAAAAGGGCUAACUCAUUUUAGAUUUGAGUUCGAAGACCGGCUAGAUAGCGAGCUAUUCGCUGUUCUUCGUCCUCUUUAAGUUCGUUACGAGCUUGAAAGGUGUAAAAUUCUUCAGUAUAUUCUUGUACCGAUUUAGAUCUUUGUUUAAGAUUGUGUAAUUUUUGAAAAAUAGUUUGACGGUAAUCAAUCGGUAAGAAUUUUCCUUUAAGUUUUUGUUUCAUUCUUUCCCACGAGAUAAUCAUUUCUUUACCCUUUCUAACCCUAUCGUUUUGAACUUAUUUUCACCACACUAAGGCAUGUCCUUUCAAUUUAAGGGAGACAAAUUUAACUUUUUUGUCAUCAGGUAAUUCUUUCCAUUCAAAAAAUUGUUCUAUUUUGUCUAACCAAUCCACAAAAUCUUCAGGUUGUAAUUUACCCUCGAACUCACUCACGUCCACUUCAAUGCCCUGAUCCCAUCGAUGUAUAUUUCCUUGAGUUUGAAAAAAAGGAUUUCUUCUAGCAGAUAAAGUACGAUUGUCAAAAUCAGGGUUACUUUUCGAAUCUUCUCCAACUGCAUUUUGUUGUUGUAUACUUAAUCUUUCCAAUAGUUGUUGAAUGUUAUUCAUUUGAUUUUGCAUACUUUUCAUGGAAUCUUAUUUUUUCUCAUAUGUUUCUUUCCAAUCACGAGGAUUUUCACUAUUGCCAGCCAUUUCCAAAUGCUAACAAGUUGAUCAAAAAGUGAUGCUCUUUUUUCUUUUUUUUUUCUUUUUUUUUUUUUGAAAUAUUUUGGCCCAAAGUUGAAUACCAGGAAAAAGUUGUUUAGAUCAAAACAAACGCUCCCACGAAAAGAACUUGCUCUGAUACCAAUUGAUGCAAACCGAGAGGUUGCCAAAAUUGAAUUUUGAAAUUUGCUUUUGUUUAAAGGUAAAAGUAGGUUCAAUUUAUCUAUUCCGAUGAACUUUAAGCAAGGAAGCAAAAAUUUCAGUAAGACAAAAAUUAAAAUCGAAUUGAAGUAAUACUAAGAUGAUGAUAAACCUUCAAUAUAUGAGAUAAUAACAACCAAUUGAAAAUACAUAUAAUAGUUCCAAAAGGUAAAUUCGGCUUCAUUGGACUUAAAGCUUUAGGUUUGGUUGUUUGGCAAAUAUAGUUGGUAAUGGUGGAAUGCUAGAUUAAAAGGGGAUAAUAGGAUAUCAGGAGAUGAGAGAUAUAAAAUGUGCACCGUUCACACGAUUGCGGGGGAUCCACGAUCGACGAGGAGGGCGGUACACCACGGGUAGAACUUUGGCAACGGGGAAGAAGAAGAUGAGGUAGUGACUUGGAAGAAGAGGAGAGGUAGAAGUAGAAGCCGAUCUUGUCACGAGGAAGAAGUGACAACGAUCAAGUUGAGAAAGAAGACGAUCUCGGCGCGAGGAAGAAGCGUCGAUGAUCUCACUGGGAAGUAGAACACCAAGGAUAAAGAGUGAGAGUAGAAUUUUCUAUUCAUCCAAAUAUAUCUCCUUGAAGGCUUCAAGAACCAUAUAUUUAUAGUGUUGAGAGUCCUCCUAUAAUAAAUUAUUGUCUUUUCGUUUUCAACAUAACACGGUCACCUAAGAGUCAUGCAUAGAAAACGAAGCAAUUUUGAGAACUUCAAAGGUCUUUUUUUGGGGAAUUCCAAAGGUCUUUUUUGGAAUUGUUUCCUUGUUUAUUGGAGAAAAGGGUUUGGGUUAGCCAAAUCAACUAAAACUAAAUGAUUUAAGUCCGAAUCAAACACGAACCUACAAAAUAAAGGAAAAUUACAUUCAAAAAUAAAAUGAGGUUUAUUUGCUGCAUCACCUCUCCCCUGAUCCUUUAAUCCUUCCCAUGAAAUUUUUAUGAUAAAAGUUCUAAUGCACCAAAGUUUUUGAUUCCUGUUGAAACUAGUCUUUCUGUUGUUUGUAAUAUAAAAUUUCUUUUGCUGUUUUGAGCAUUGAAAAAAAUCCAUGAACCAAUGUUGUCCUAUUUUAAUUUAUUUUCUUAUGACUUUAAAAAAUUUCUUGUACAAAAUUGUACUCACAAUUUCGAUUUUGAGAGAAGAAAGCUUAAUGAUUGGUGCUAAUGUAGUGAUGCGGCACGUUUUCAAAAAGGAGAAUGAAAGUUUUUACUUUUGCUUUUUUUUUUUUGCUUUUUUUUUUGUAAAUGAACCCCCAUGUCUUCUUAGAGUUGAAUAAUUGUUAUGACGAACAAGCUUCGGGAGUUUUUUUUUAUUAUUUUGGUUGAUAUUACAAGGACUAAAUUGAAGUUGAGGUCAAACUUUGGAUAAAGAUUUCUAAUGAACCAUUAAUAAAGAGGCCGCUUUCUUCUCUGUUUGUUAAGAGUCCUCAAGUUAUACUAGGCGUAACUCGAAAUAUCUUUAGUAAAAGAGGUGUACAGAAUCACUUGUCGUUUUGUCAGCUCAUGCUUAUCUGCUACGAAUAUUAUAACAUAUCACAAUUCUGAGAAUUCCCUACUGUAAAGACUCUUAUAGAUGGCAUUUUUGUGUGUCUGUGAGGGAGUCAAUAGGUUUGUACAUGGACGUGGAUUCAACUUCCUCUAGAAAUCAAUACACAUUAUGCUACCUUUCUUUAAAUAUAGAUAUAUUGAAGCUCUGCGAGUAUUAGAAGUACACAAUUCCAUGUUAAGAUGCUUAACAGAAGCAUUCCAAUAGUUGACGCCAUAUGGUCAGCUUGUGUUCUUAUUUCUCUUAUUUCCAUGAUAUAUGCAUACGUGACUGCUUUUGCAGGUUGAAAGUUUCAACUGUUAAACCACAUAAAAUUAUCUUCCAUUUUUCCUUCAAGUAAACUUUCCUUCAAAUCAUUGAUUCUUUCAAUUUACUACAAAGUACCAGGCAAUAAAUUAUAUGAUUUCUAAACUGAAAUGCGUAGAAUUCAUCAAUUUAUUCUUAUUCUUUUUAAACUUAACUCCCCAUUCUAUUCAAAUCUGAUGCCUCUACCUAAACAUAUCCAAUAAACGCUAAUUUAUACUUGAUAACUAAAGUAGAUGCUAAAACUGAUAUAGGUAAUUGAACAGGUUUGUCUGUGCAUGAGCAUGUGUGCAUGUGUGGCAACAUUCUCCUCCUGUCGACUUCAAUUAAUUUCUCACUUGCUUUUAGUCAUUAUACUUCUCGUUGAGCUGUUUUCGACUGUUUAAAAUUUUAAAUGUGGCACAGGUGUUUUGUCUUCAACACAGGGGUUACACCAAACAUCUGUGUCCGAAUGCAAAUCAAAAGGAUGUGACUGUCCUAAUUUGUCCGCUCUGUGCUAAAAGCGUCCGCCUGGUGCCAAAUGAAGACCCGAAUAUCACUUGGGAGUCCCAUGUUAACAGCGAUUGUGACCCGUCAAACUAUCAGAAAGCAACAAAGAAAAAGAGGUGUCCUGUUCCAGGUUGCAAAGAAACACUAACAUUUUCCAACACAAUCCGAUGCAGGGACUGCACCAAAGAACACUGCUUGAAGCAUAGGUUUGGACCAGACCACAAGUGCAUUGGGCCGAAGAAACCGGAUCCCAGCUUCCCUUUCGUGAAUCUGCUACGGAGAAGUCAGAAAGCGGAAUCAGUAUCGAACAGUGCUCCUAUUGGUUCUUCAUGGUGGGGCUCGAGCUUUCUAAAUGCAGCAUCAAAUGCAAAGGCCUCUGCGGAAGCUGGUAUGCUGAGAUUGAGUAAUGCAACGACGGAAGCGUUCCAAAAGGCAAGAGAUGGAAUAGCACAAAGCAGCAGCAGGUUCGCCCUUAUGGAGCAAUGUGUUCAAUGCCAAGCAAGGUUUUCCACAGUGUCAGAUUUGAUCAAGCAUGCCGAGAGAUGUCAUCAAAACACUGUUCAGCUAAAGCGUAACGGGGUAACAAUUGACAUUUGCCCGAAAUGCAGCAAGGGAUUUCAGGAUCCUGUAUUGUUGGUGGAGCAUGUCGAGAGGGACCAUGGAGGAACUUCAAAAGUUGUCCAUUCAACUUAAUUGAAUUACCACCUGUUUCAAUAUCUUGUUCCAUUUGUAACUGUGAUCAAUGAAAAUAUUACUUGAUUGAUAUAUGGAACUUUUAGUAGUUUCUAUUUUUGGUUCCCUUUAUCUUACAAACAUGAUUCAUGCUAAGUGGUAAAUUAUGGCAUCCUUUCUUCCUUGUUCGUAAUGUUUAAUUUUUGUAUAAGCUUUACCGUGAUAAGAAAAUUUGUAUAUUCGUUUUGCUUCGUUGUUAGUAUUCUGGACCCUCGCUAAGUUUCUUUGUUUUUGGGGGUGUUUGGCCUAACUUUUAAGAAGUGAUUUUAGACUCAAAAGUGAUUUUCGGCUCAAUAGAGCAUUUGGCAACCUCGUUUUCAAAAUCUGAUUCUGAUUUUCAAACAGUGCUCAUAUAUGCAUGUAUACUUUUGCAGGGAUAGGUCUGUAAAUAUCUCUUAAUAUAUCGAGCAUAGGGAUGACUUGGGGAUAAAGUGGGCAUAGUGCUAUUCUAAUGCCGAAAUAGUUAUUCCGUGAUCAUCCUUCAAUCACGUGGUAUGAAGAGAACGAUUGCUCCUGGUGUGCCUUCUUUUGCUUCUUUUUGGCGUAUAUAUCCCGAUCAAUGCUGUGUUUUAGUCCUUCACGUCUUCUUACUUCAGUAAUAGAAAGCAUUCUUUGUUGUGCAUAUUAGUCUUAACUGUGCUUUUUUGUGCAUGUUAGUCUUAGCUGUGCAUAUUAGUCUCUAGGACAAAGCCAAGAUUGCCCAGGAUAAUCAGUUAUCUCUUUAUUAAGAGUUUAUCCAAUGAGUGAGAUGCAUCCUUAAUUGUAAAUCAAAAUACUCGUGUUGGAUUUCCUUUCUAUACAGAGUUAAUUUUCAAAACCUUCAGUGCUGCAAUAGAGUUAUUUCAUUAGUUAUCUUGACUUGGAUUUCACAAAUUGGAAAAUUUCCACAGAUUGUGGUUAUUCUUAGUUCUAGCAAUGUAGGUCUCUUCAAAAUAGUUAUGAUUAUUGGAAACUAGUUUGUGUUUAAGCAUUGUUUCCGGGGAUACCGUCGAUUUAUUUACUUAUUUUCUUAUACCUUUGAAAAUUAGUUAAAAUGCAUGGAGACGAUUAUACGAGAAAGGACUUUGGAUCCUGCUUGCCGCUAUUCUUCUUUAAUGGGGUCUCCACACUUGAGUUCAGAGUUGGCGCCUCCUUUUCAAUCUAGUUCAAGAAUCACUGCUAAUUUGGCACCUGAAUCAAUUCAUGGCUCCUCUAUUUCUAACUUCUCUACAGCGCUUGGUAAUGACCGUUCUUCUUUUCAAAGUGAGUUGAAUUGAAUAGAGAAGUUUGUGAAAUUUGACUCCUCUGCAUUAUUUUAGCAACAAUUAUAUGGUCUCUUGCAGGAUAUCGACCUAAUGGACAGCAUAGAGUGGUUGCUAACUUCUCUUCUUGUUCGAACGGUAGAGUUAUGGAUUCAAUUGGCAGCAUUUUGGGAACAAAUUUCGCUCAUCAAGCUUCUGAUUCAUCAUAUUUGUGUUCUACUCCCUGUAACGCUUUGUUAGCAAGAGCUGUCCAGAACAACGGAGCAAGUUCAAAUAUAUUAUGUGUACGUGAUAAUGGAUCGAGGUCUCUCAAUGAUCAAACUAGAAUGAUCUUUGAGCAGUACAAUAUAUAUGGUACUAGUUAUUCUUUGCAUGGUGCGUUAAUUUUAAUGGGAGGUUCAGCUUGUCUCAGUUGCAUUCUGUUCGGAUUUCUUAUGGCUACCGACAAGAUCUAAGCAAAAGUGAUUUUCAAAGUUUAAGUGAUUCCGAUCAAUAUUAUAUGUUUUGAAGCUUUUAAUAGUUCUUUUAUGAUCUUGAUGCUUUCUUUUUUUCUCGUUAUAAUUGUAUCACAUUUGUACUUGGCAGAUAAUACACAUUUGAGCUCGGGCUCUGAAGCAUGUGUUCCUUGGAUGCGCAAUUCAUCUCUAUCAGCACUUGGUUCCUGCAGGAAAUCUAAUUUUAUGGAUAAAUUCAAUUGCGAAUCCCCCUGUGUUACUGGACUGUGCUGGAAUGGCUUCUAUUUUGGGCUUAGGGGCAUCGAAGCGGGCCACGAAGCAUUCACAAAUUUCCAGAAUCAGUUCUGGAGGCGCAUGAUUUAUUACAAGGGCAAUCUUCUCAGGAUACCCAAUUUAGUAACAAUCAUCACCAUGUAUUGCAAAAAGAAGAUAACUUUGGGCAGCAAAAGGAGUUGACUGAGAAAAAUGCUGUAGGCCCUUCACAGUGGAACAGUAAAUUAAUUGAUUUUGCUCAGGUGAACAGUAAUGUUGCAGAAACUCAUGAAAAGUCUCCUACCUCGAGUAACAAAUUGGGCUUGGAGAAAUUGAUUAAUUUUCUAGUUCUUUAUGAACAUGUAUUGAGCUGCCCACUUCGUGAAAGGGAAUGUGAUGUACACCUUUGUCCAAAUUUUAAAGAGAAGCUUAAUCACAUUUUGAAUUGUAAUGUUAAAGGUUGCGAAAAAAGUUGUUAUGGGCCCGGGGUAAUCAUCGAUCAUUAUAGCAAGUGCCGCUCAAUUGAAUGCUAGUUGUGUGGUCCAGUCUGGAGAAAAUUAGCAGAAGUUCCUGACCAGCUGCGACCUGCAAAACAUUGUAGGACUGAAAGCUGUAGUGCCUUUCUCUCCAGUCAAAAUGAAACUUUUAAAGAACAAUGGCCUGCCCUGAAUUCUAAUGGUUCUUCUUCCCAAGGUUCAUCGAGAACAUUUCAAGGGACACUGAUGUCUACGAAUGUGAGCUCUGAGAUUCAAGUGUGUCUAUGAAUCAGAAAUUUCUUGAUGCUUCUACUUCUAAAGUUGACGACUGGAAUGUGAACCUUGUGAGGCUGGAAGAGACUAAAGUGCAACAAGAGCAAGAAAAGACAAAGAUGCAGAAUGAGGUCGAUGAUGCAGUUGAAAUGCAAGAAAAUGCAGAAAUUCAGAACAAGGACAAUGACUUCGUCGUCAGGAUGCAAGAAGACGCACAUAUUAAGGACGAGGACGAUAAAAUCGUGCUCAAGCUACAAGAAAAAAUAAAAAAUUAGAAUGAAACUGGAGUCAGAAUUGUGGUCGAGAUGCAAGAAAAUUCACAAAUUCAGAAUGAGGGCAGUGAGUGCCCAUAAGGAGAUAGCCGGGCCCUAACACGGGUGAGCAGCAGAGGGUUCCGGUGUCAAAUUUGACACUUCCAGAAAUCCAGAUCGGAAUGAUUAUCCGACGAUAAUCGUUUCGACUUGAGAUCUUGUGUUCGCUACCUGGACACCCAAAGCGGUGUGUUUCGGGUCAGCGGGUGACUCGUGGAACGAGUCGAUGCACUUCGUGACACUUCUUGGGUCCCAACGGUGUCCCGAUAUGAUUUUUGGGAGUUCCGACGAGUUACAAUGAUUGGUUUUUGGGAAACUGACUAUGUGAGAAAUUAUGGGGAUUGUGAGUGUUAUGUUUUGAGUCAGUAGGUUGGACUCUGACUCUAUGGACCCUUUGUAGGUCUGGUCGACGACCUUGCAUAUUAUAGGGACAGACGCGAUAGAGAUACAGGUGGGUACUUCGAUCCGAAGUCGGUCUAGUGGUGCACGCUCGCUGAUGUUCCCUCCACCUUCACUUUCUAUACUUCUUGCAUUACUUGUGAUUGUUGAGCCUGACACCACACGACCCUGUUGCAUAUUGCUCUACUUAUUUAUUUUCAUAUUCACUUAUUGUGAUCUAGAAGUAGAGCGGUUAUUUACUAUACCUGUGGAUUGCGACUUUCGUUGUGACCUAGUUGGUCGGUUCUAUAACUCCUGUUGUUUGAUGACUAUUCGGUCGGUAUAUCCUGAGGGUUUUGAUUGUUGGCUAUUCGCCGACAACUAUUGAUCAUAUUUGCAUCUAUCGCCAUUCCUCGUGCGCAAUUCACGUACACUAAUAGUUUGGCCACCGCAACGAUGUUCUUUUCCGAAAUAAUGGUUGGGAGUGCCAACCCGUAAGCCCAGAAGCUUAUGCUAGGGGUAUACGUCAUUUAGAAUGGCGUGGCACUUACCUUAAGUCUUUAGAUCGACACGGCGGAUUUUAAUUGGGUACUUUGGGACUAUUGUCCGGUUGAUACAUUUUACUUACAGUAGUGGUAGCUGUAGAUGCAUCUUGCUUCAUCUUUUACUUUGCUACUGACCUACUGUAUUACCUUUCACAGCUAUACUUUUGGUUACCAGUGAGUACACUCGCCCUCGUUGGCUUGCGGUACCCCUAGUUGGUUACCAGUGAGUACACUCGCCCUCGUUGGCUUGCGGUACCCCUAGGAGACCCUUGUUGGUUCCUCACCCCCAAGUUCAGAUAAUUUUGGAGGCACGAGUCGGGACGAGGCGUGAAGACGUAACCAGCAAGCGAUAGAGGUCCUAUCCCGGUAGUAUUUUGGUUCUAGACUUUACACAUUUUUUAUUGAUAAAUAAUCCAAACUAUUUAUGUGGUUCAACUUAACUCUUGUUGGUUUUGUUCUGAUUUUACUUUGAGUUUGAAAUAUUAAAUAAAUCUAUUUUGUAAGCACCAUGUGGAUUUAUGAAAAUAAUUUUCUAUCCCUCGUGGUAGCUCAUUUUCAAAGAUAAUAAAAGGUGUCCAUGUGGAAAACAGUUUUUUAAAAAAAAAUUUGCCUUUUCGUGAGUUUAGUAUUUCAAAAAUAAGUUUCCAAAUGGAAAACACUUUCAACUUUUAAUUAUGAAAUGUUGCAAAUCUUGUAAUGUACUGUUGUGAAUGUGCAAUUGUUAAUGGAUGUGAUUGUGACUUGUACUAUGUGUGAUGCCGGUAAAUAUAAGAAAGACUCUGCCUGCAUGGACAGUAUAUUUUCUGUAUUUGUAACGAGUCUAUCAUCCCUUGGAUCAAGAUUUCAAAAGAAAAAAUAUGGUAUAUUUCUCACAGAUCCAUUGACUUCAAAUUAGCCCUCCUUAAGGGCUUUAUAAAGAGCUUUAGGUUAGUGAACUUCAAUCUCACAAGACAUCUGCUAACUUGUUGAUAUACACACACUAAUCCAACCACGAAAUCACAACAUGAGAAGAACAAGACACUAGGAAAAGAAGAAGGGCUUUUUUUGCAAUUGGACCCCUGAAAAAAAUUAUUUUUAAAAAUAAUCCCAGCAAAUUUAUAUUUGCAAAAAUAGCCCUGUCCCUGCCACCCAAGCGUCACGUCAGCGCCACGCGGGCAGGACUGGAGGCGGUAGUUAAGUUAAACACGGUGAACCAUUCACCGUUCUAAACAUGGUGAAUGAUUCACCGUGUUUAGAGCUAAUACGUAUUUUUUACAAUAUAAAUAUUUGAAGGUGAAUGGUUCACCGUGUUUAGAGCUAAUACGUAUUUUUUAUAAUAUAAAUAUUUAAAAAAAGGAAUAGAGAGUAGAAAUGUCAAUGGGUAUGGAUAUCUGAAAUAUUAUUCGAACCCAAACCCGAAUAAAUUAUAUAUAUACAUAAUUUUUUUUAUUUAUUUAUACAAUAUAUAAAAUAUUUAAUAAUUUUUAUUUCUUAGAUCUUUAUCCAACAUUAUAGAUUUUUAAAAUCCGCUGGAUUCAGAUUCGGAUUUCGAGUUUUUGGUCGGACAUGAGUAUAAAUUUUUAAAAUCCGUCAGAUUUGGGUUUUAAUUUGAUUUUCGAAUUCUGGAUUUGGAUUUUUGAAAAAGGGAAAAAAAAAGGAAUAAAAAUAUGAAACACGGUGAACCAUUCACCGUGUUUGAACACGGUGAAUGGUUCACCGUGUUUAACUUAACAUACUGGCCCCGGCCCUACCUGCGUGCCGCUGACGUGGCGCCUGCGUGGCAGGCCCAAGACCAUUUUUAUAAAUUAAAUUUUGAUAGGGCUAUUCUUAAAAUAAAAAUUUGUUAGGAGGCUAAAUGCAAAAAAAGCCCAAAGAAGAAACAUCACAGCGCAAACAUUAGGAUUGAAUAGUAAGCAAAAUGGAUCGCUAAUAAUUACAAGCUACAGAUAGGGAAAACAAAAAAAUCUAAAGGAAAAUUCUUCCUAUGACCGACAAACAAUUCUACCUCCUGCAUGGAUCAAAGUAAAUAAAAUUGACAACAUAAAUAUAUCUUCUACAUUUUCUUUUAAUGCAACAGUACUGCAACCAUUACUAUGCAAGAGCACCAAGUGAUGGACUAGCAUAGCAAACUACCACAUAAAUCUCUGCACCCCAGCCUCAUGUUCCCAACGAAAUGGACGAAACAAAAACAUAGCCAUUGUGAAAAUAUCCACAGCAGCAUACAGAAGCCCCAAGACCAGCCACUUACUAUUUUCGGUAGCUGGGGAAUGGAGAAUUAGUAAAAAGAAAGGGAUUGUGAAGUAUCUGAACUCAAUCAGUGGAGCGGGGAUGAGAACUAGUGCGACGCAGAGAACAAAAGACAACACCCAAGCCCUUUUUUGUGAUUCUCCUGUAACAUGAAGAAGCAAAAUAAUAAGCUGAAUAGGGGAUAAAUCAGAUCAGUAAGUGGUUAGGCUUCUAUUACUCACCUAAAAUUGUAAUGAUAGAAAACCAUGAGUAGACAUAAAGAGGGACUAAGAUGUAUUUCAUUGUCGAGUGUGCUUGGAUAACCUUCCUCCAGAUAUAGAAAGGGUAAUGGCGAUUAUCGGCUAGAAGAUAUGGAUGAGCAAUACUGCAAGCACAAUAUAAAGAAAUCAUAAAAUCAAUAAAAAAAAAAAAGGCUCACUUUUUUCAGGUCCAUCUGAAUGGGAACUAGAACAUUUAGUAUGUAUGAGAUAACAACAAGGAUAAAGCUCAAUCAAAACCCCAGAUUUCACAUGGCAUUUAUAUAAUUCAACAAGACCAUUUGAAAAAAAAAAAAAAAAAAAAAAAAAAAAAAAAAAAAAAAAAAAAAACGUUAAUUUAUUUUUGGACUACACAACUUUAUCAACAUUCUUGGUUUUCCAUAUUUAGACCAAAAUACAUUUUUCCUGGAUGAAAAUGUCCACGAUUGAAGUUUCUAAUGAAUAUAUUAGUCAUAAGGAGUGCCACAGAUAUUAAGUCAAUAAAAGAGAUUUCAGCCAGAAAUUGCAGCAUCCUGCUGAAUAAAACAAAAUUAAUGUUUACUGUUUUUUUUUCCCCUUCCCAAAAAUAGGUUCAAAGAAUUAUUGUUUGCUCGAAGCUUUAUUAUGUGAGUAUAGGAAAGGUUCAAUGAGCUUCAGCAUUAAAUACUAUAAUAUUUAUGAAAUUCUCCGUCUAUCCUGUCAAUUCUAUCUUGUGUGUUUACCUCUGACACUGUUCAAAAUUUAAUAUGCCGUCACCAUGAGCCCAAACUUUUAUCUAUUAUUGUAUUUUUGGUAUUUACUGACUCCAUGUUACUUAAAAAGAGCCCAUCCAAGAGCCAAGUCUCCUAAUCAGCUAUUGCUUUACGAAUCCAAACAAGAUCAAAGUCCUGUUUCAAAAUAAAACUCUGACCUGAAAAAGUGCACAAUUAUACAACUUGUGCCAAGAGCUGCGAAAACUAGAAAAGAGCCAAGAACCUUGUUACGCUUAAAUAAUUGGCAUAACUUUGCUACUUGGUGAGGAGUAAAAUGAAAAGGAGCUAGGGCCGCAGCUGACACCAGACCAAAGUACAACAACUGUGCAAAGUGUGGAGAAACCACGUGAGCUUCUUUUGCACCUGCAACAUUGCAAAAAAAACAAAUUGUAAAGCUUGUUUUCUCUAAAACAAUAAGAAUUUGUUCAAUUCUAGUGCAGCACGACAAUUUAAAAGGUGGCAGCUAAAAAUAAAUACCAAGAACUAUGCCCCUAUUCCAAAUAAUGAAGGCCGCAAAUGCUAUUAGAAUCAUGGCAUAGGGCGCAAAGGCAAUCAAGACUUUCCACUUCAAAGACCAUAACUUCAAGGUGAUAUCGAGUAUUUCAAUAAUAAUACCUGCAAGAUAAUUCUAUUCGAUGUCAAAUAAACAUCAAGGAAAGCGAUUAAUAAUAGUUUACCAAACAUUGUUGCUGAACUUUUUAUCAUAGACAAAGAUAAGUAACAUUUUGACUAGUUCCUACCCGGGGAAUGAAAAUGGGAAUAUCCACUUGAUUCACUACUACGCAGCUUAUUGGUAUUUGCAGAAUUAUUCAUUUUUCUUCUCCUCAAACUUGGAAAAGUUGAAGUUCUUUUCUUGUUAGUUAGUAAAUUGUUUUCCUCCUGGAUUAAUUGCUCAUUCUCCCCUGGAAAACUCUUAGUUUCAUAGAAGUCCUCUGCGUAUUUGAUAGCUCCAUUAGCAGCUACAAAUAUCACCCAUACAACAUUUGUCUGCCGGAAAAGUAUCGCCAAAGCUCCGAGCUGCAGAAAAUAGAAUGCACAUAUAAAGUAAAAAAUAUCAUUGGAAGAGUAUCACCGCUGCAUCACAACAUUGUUGAGAUAAAGUAAAGAAGAAAGCAAGCUUUGUCACAUGCUUGGUAAUAAGGAAAGAUUGAAUAGCUCAAACUACCUAAAAAGUGUUUGCUCAAAAAUUAAACCAGGCAUAAAUUUUUAUACCUCCUAGUUUUAUUCCUUUCUGGAAUUCCUAUCAAAUAUUCUAUUUGACUAUAGAUACCAGUGAAGUAUCAUGCAACCAUAAAAUACUGGCAUAAUAUCUCUAUUCAAUUAAAAACACCAUGUAUAAUCUUAACUGUUGACAAAACUAUAUUGCAGCGUAAAAGGAAAAACAACUCAUGAUAAAUGAAUUAAAGUGUGACAUCCAAGCUGCAAACAGACUACAUUGAUUGCUGUUGUAUAAGAUGGUUAAAAUGUACAGAUGAUCCCCAAAUUUCCACAAUAUCGCGACUGUCUGUGGACAUUUCACUCGGAUAAUUUAGUUCAUAAACUUUCUUACGUGUUGCAAUCACUGCCCAAAACCCGUUUAACUGUCCAAAAGAAAACCUAAUAUCUGUUACGUGACAUGCUCCGCACCAGACUCAUUUCCUGUAAGAGGACGAAUUUAGCCUGGCACAAGACUCUAGCUAUAAUAUAUAUUUCCUGUAAGAUGACAUAUUUAGCCCUGGCAGUAAGAAUGUAAGAUGACAAAUUUAGCCCUAGCACGAGACUAGCUAAAAUACAUCAGAACAAAGACUCAUGCGCUAGGUAUAAAUAACAAUUCUAUAGGAAAAAAAAAAAAAAUCAACUGCUAGGCAAGGUUUAAAGUGCCGUGACACGGGAGCGUGCCGAUGUCUGUCUGGCAUGGUAUGGCACCGGCACGCUUCCGUGCCGACAUAUGGUACGCUUGCAUGCCGAUGGAUAUGCAUAACCUCCUACUGGAACGCUUUGUCACGGACUUAUUUCAAUUUUUUUAGUUCUAAUAAGCUCUUAUAAUGUUAUUUUGAAAGAUUUAAUCAAAUAAUUAUGAAUAUUUGCUAUGUAUAGCUUACUAUACUCAUUAAUUAACAUAUUUGUAAGCUUUUUUGUAUAUAAAGUACAAUUAUACUGAUGCAAAAUAGAAAUUGUUACAUGUAAGAAUUUUUAAAAUGCAAAGAUAUCUUUUUUUCAUUAUUUCUUUUGACCAUAUUACAAUCUUUCUUUUAUAAAAUAUAAAAAAAUAAUUUUAAAAANUUAUUUUAAAAAGUAUUUAAAAAAAAUUAUUUUUUAAUUAAUUUUUUCAAAAAAAUUAGUAGAUCUAUCAAAAAAAUUAAGCAAUUAAUUAUAUGACAAAUAAAUUAAAUAAAUUUAAGUAUCAAUUGAUUUAAUUUAACUUUUAAUUUUAUCAGCAUUUUCAAUCUUCUAGCGCAAAAAUAAAAUUUUUAUGUUUGAUGUGGCUCAAAAUUUGUUUAUUGAGUUCGAUGUUGUUCCCUUAAUUCGCCAAAAAUUUGGCAAUGCGACAAAUUUUGAUAAAAUAAUUUGUGAAGAAAAAAUAGAUAUCUGUGGUGGAAGCGGAGGGCUCGGACAAAUCUUUUGUCCGUAUAUUGAUAAACAAAAAAAUUAAAUUAUAAUUUUUUUGACUUAUCUAAUAAGUAAAUUUUCGAUUGUAAUGUUUUUGGGAGGGCGUGGAGUACCCAGAAUGCUUUGGAUAUCCCAAAGAACAAAACAAAAGAAAAACAAAAACAAAAGGAAAAAAAAAAAAAGCACAGUGCCGGCACGGCACUGUGCCGUGGCACACUGCGCAGUGCCGCUCUGUCUCGUGCGGCACGGCGCUGCGUACCGCGGCACGGAGGGGGGUCCGAGACCCCCCUGUACCGUGCCACCUUCUUGGUGGCAAGGUAUGUGCCGCCCCGUGCCACACUUUAAAGCUUGCUGCUAGGAUUAAAAUGGCUGUUUAUAACAAAUGGAUCAAGUAUGGACAACGUGGGCGCAACAAGGCCAAAGAUACGAAUGCAAAAUGUAGGAAAGUUGAAAAACCAACUUUCAGUGAAAAGUUCAAGGUCUGAGUCACAAUAUUGUGAUUUGCAAAUGUACAGAGUGAUAGAAUGCUUACAAUAGCACUGACCCAGAAUCGCUUCUUCAGGCUAGCCAAGUACAUUGCAAGAACAGCGGUGAGUGAAGCUAUAUCCGUAUAGUACAGGAAAGUGAAGAACCAGUGCACAGGGUAUAAAGAUAUCAAAAUAGCAUAAAAACUCGCCCUCCUUUCGCCUAUACUUGGCCUCAAAUGGACAAGAAGGUCAUGAACAAGUAUGCUGCAUAUGAUUGUCAGAGCGACAUUAGUCGAUCGGAGGAUGGUAGUAGAACAAAGUUGGGACAACGACUGCACUCCAUUAAUCAACCACAUGCCUGGAAACAAAGAAGCAACAUAUGCAAGUGAAACAUAGUACCUGCAAAAUUGUGAAAUAGUAGAACUCUAAGCAACAAUUGAUGUUAAAUCACUCAUGCAUAACAUAUAGCAGUCCUAUAACGAUGUGAUCAAUCAGAAUAUAAAGAGAUAUUUAUGCAAUUUAUUCUGAAAUAUAUUCCUGCAGAACCUCAAUUUCACAGAUUCCAUUAAACUACUUAUUUUCUAACAUAUACAACGUUCUCCUCAAAAAAAUUCUUAGUUUCUAGCAUAUACACCGUUCUCCUCAUAGAAAUGGCAAUAGCUAUAACCAUUUAACUGAACCUGCAGUUCCGCUGCCGAAAAGUGGAAAACGGUUAGAGCCAUUAAAUUACUACCAAAUGGGGAGUUAGAACCACUAAAGUUACUAUGAAAUGGGGUCUUAUAGCCAUUAAAUUGCUAUCAAAUGAAAUAUUCGGUAUUCAUCUACUGCUACAUCCCAAACUUUCAGUCGAGUUUCACUUUGUUUCUAGAACUUUUAAAUUUGACAUUCGACUCCCUGAACUUCUAGAAUUGUUUCACUUUUGUCCGUGCUAUCACUUAUGCCCUUCAACCAUUUCUUGAAUAUAUAUAUAUAUAUAUAUAUAUAUAUAUAUAUAUAUAUAUAUAUAAAAGCGGAUAGAAAAUUUUUAGUUGAUCGACGGAAUCCUCGAUAGAUUAAAAGAAUAUUCUAUACACAUAAAAAAAAAAACUAAUAAAAAGCAAAUCACGUUUGAAAAAUAAAAUGAUUUAAAAACACCUAUCAAAUCUACAAUUGUUUAAAUUCAAAUAAUUGAUUCAAAAUAAACUUUAAAUUUUGAGUUUGAUUCAUAAAUUUAAAUCUAAAUGAACACAUAAAAGAUAUUCACAGUAUAACUAAAUUGGAAACAUGAUUAAAACAAAUCAACAUUAUAAAAGAAAUCAAUUGAAAAAUAAAACGNUAAUUGAUUCAAAAUAAACUUUAAAUUUUGAGUUUGAUUCAUAAAUUUAAAUCUAAAUCUAAAUUUUAAUUUUAAAUUUUAAAGUUGGGUUACAUUAAAAAAAAAAAAUUUGUAUGUUAAUGAACACAUAAAAGAUAUUCACAGUAUAACUAAAUUGGAAACAUGAUUAAAACAAAUCAACAUUAUAAAAGAAAUCAAUUGAAAAAUAAAACGCAUGCCAUUAAUAACCAUUUAAAUUCAAAAUAUAGAUUCAUAAUUUACUUUAACUUAAAUUUCGUACUUAAAUUUAAUUUAAUUUACUAAUAUGAUGUGCAUUGCACGUGCAUUAUAACUCUCUCUCUCUCUCUCUCUCUCUCUCUCUCUCUUAUAUGAGUUGAGCUAGAAUACUAUAGGUAGCAAACGGGCUCUGUUGCUACUGAUUUGUUUUCGAUGAUGGAGCCUUCAAAUCAACGAUCAGCACUAUUGGAUAUGAUCUACACCACUUGAAGUAUCUAAAAAUCAAAUUUUAUGUUUUUCCGAUAUUGUUCUCUAUGCAUCAAGCGGACAUAAAAAUGAACAGCUCAAAAUAAAUAAUCUUCAAAAAGUAAUGAGAGGAUUCUUGCAAUCAAGAUCAAGUCUUGAUCUUGUUUUAAAUAGGUUAAAGAAUUAUCUAGCCAAAAUUCAAUUUAUUUAAAUUUGUUUACACCGUUAAACUAGCAAACCCCUCAUAUCGACCAUUAAAAUUACAAAAUUUGCAACCCUUUGAUCAUUAGGUCAAUGAUGUUGAAAAUAUUUAAAAUUUGAUUUCUAAAUACUACAAGUGCUUUAGAUCAUGUUCAUAAGUGUCAAUUGUCGAUUUAAAGGCCCCAUCAUCGACAACGAAUCGAUAGCAACGAAACUCAUUUGCAAUCGAUAAUAUUCUAGCUCAACUCAUAUAUAUAUAUAGCAGGGCUGCUGUGCUAUAGGAAGCACAACAGUUCUUGUGCUCCUAAGUUCCUAGCCAUCCAUCAAUUCUUAAGUUCGUAGCCAUCCAUCAAAUUGAUGGAUGACUAGGAUUAUUCUCUUUCUUUUUCACCAUCUCUUUUAAUUUCCUCUCUUUUUGAAUUUCUCUCCAAUUUCUCUUAUCUCCCUCACCCUUUUCACCACCAUCACAUCCAUCUCAACCUACCUACCACCAUCAACAAACCCCCCCAUCACCAUAUGCCGCCGCCCCCACACCACCUCCCCCACCCCCACCGUCUCCUCCGCCUCUGCCUCCGCCAUCCACUCCACCAUCCCAUCCCUCCCCCGCGGGCCGCCUCUAUCGUCGCCCCUCCCCCACCCAAACCCGUGCCGCUGCCGGCAGAAUAGGGGUUGGGUUGGGGAGGGGGGCAACAGUGGCUGCCCUCCAAGAAGAAAGAGAUCUGCGGGGGAGGUGGAAGGGGCAAAGACAGCGGUGGCCACAGGGAAGGGGGCGAUGACGGCGACGGCCUGCAUGGGACCAAGGGGAGGGGGAAGUAGAGGGGUUGGGGGUAAGGUAAUGGUAGGGCUGGGCGUGUGGAGAGAGAGAGAGAGAGAGAGAGAAGAGUAACUGAGUGAGAGAGAGAGAGAGAGAGAAGAGAAAUUGAGAGAGAGAUAUGAAAAAUUGAGAGAGAAAUAAGAUUGAUGGAUGGUUAGGAACUUAAAAGCACAAGGGCUACUAUGCUCUUAAUAGCACAGCAGCCCUGUUCUCUAUAUAUAUACUUCUUCCAGAAAUGCUAGUAACAGUUAAACUCUUUAAUGGAACUUGCAGUUCCUUUGCAUAUAAAAGUGAUAAAAUCAUUCAAGUUGGUAAAUCACUAUCAAAUUGGGUGCAUUGCACCACUAGUCCCUAAAUUUCUAAUCAGGUUUCACUUUGGCCUUUAAAUUCUAGGUCUAAAAUUCGACACCCCAAACUUUUACAAUUGUUUUUCUUCAGUCCCUACAAUCAUUGUUUGGUUAGAGAAAGAAUUAUUUUAUGCACCUGGUGCAUCCGUACUUCAAAUAAUCCAACCAUUUAAUUUCUAAUAAAAGUAAAGCUAGGCUGCAACUCUAAAGGUGUGUUUGGUUGGUCGUAAAAUGUAUCGAGAAUUACUUUUUGGCUUGAAAAUUUGUUUUCCAUGUGUUUGUUUAGGGGGUGUUUGGUUUGUUGUAAAAGUAGGUUGAAAACUAUUUUCAGUUUGAAAAAAAAAAAUUUCCCAAUUGUUUGGUUGCUUGUAAAAGAGAUUUUCGUAAAAUAACUUCACAUAUUCUCGAAAAAAUCGACCUUUUCGUUUUUCCACUCAAAUCGAGCAAAAAACGAAAACUUUUACUCCCUAAAAAUGCAGCGUACAGAGUCUAUGCAUAAAAACCUCACGGGGUCCGCGAGAAAGAAUCCAACCUCGUGAACAAUCCAACCUCGUGAACCACAUAAGUUACCCAACCCAAGAGCCAUGUUCUGGUUGCACUAUUAUAAAAAUUAAUUAAUAAUAUUAAAUAUACACUACAUUUGUAAUAUGAUAAUAUUAAUAUAUAUUUCAUAUAAAUUUAAUAUAUUUUUUAAUUCACAUAUUAUCUAUUAAUAAACUAUAAUAUUGUAAUAUUGCAUUGAUUUUAAUACAUGUUAAACAAUACAAUAUAUCUAUAAUAAAAAAAAUUUAAUUUUUCAAAUGACCAAAAAAAAUAUAUGCAUCUUUUUCAUUCAUUUUUCCUAAUAUAUAUAGUAUGAUAAUUAUUAUAUAUCAAUAAAUAUAAUANUAGUAGCCCCACACUAUAUAUAUAUAUAUAUAUAUAUAUAUAUAUAUAUAUAUAUAUAUAUAUAUAUAUAUAUAUAUAAUAAUUUUUUAUUUAUCUUUUCCUUUCUUUUCAUUUCAACCAAACAACCAUGAUGAAAAACUAUUUUUCUUUUACUACAAAUCAAACACUACAAAAAGUAAAAGUUUUUUUUCACUGAAAAUCUUUUUUCAUGAAAAAUUAUUUUUCACAGUUUUACGUUGACCAAACAGACCCUUAGUCGUAAAAAAAUAUUUCGGAAAACUAUUUUUACAGAUUUGAGGAAAUUGAAGUGUUUUCCUUUGCCACCGAUUUUCGAUGGAGAACGGAAACUCAAACUGCGUAAAACUUUUUUUCUUCAUUUUUUUUUUCACUGAACCAAACAAAUGUGGAUUAUUUUUUCCUUUCAACCAAACAAAUAUUGAUGGAAAAUAUUUUUUUUCUGUACAAAGCAAACACAACAAAACAUAAAAAUUUUUUCUCACCGAAAUUUUUUUUUCUAUAGAAAACUAUUUUUUAGAGUUUCACAUACAACCAAACACCUCCUAAGCGUUGCUGGAAUUGACAUAUGAAAACACCCUCUAGGCGUUGCUGGAAUUGACAUAUGACUAUAUGAGAUAAGAUAGAGGACAAAUAAGUGAGUCGCACAUGAUGGAUGUGAAAGAUGCACUUUGUGUAGGCAAGAAAUGCUCCUUCUACAGUAGAUCAGGACAAUGAUUAUACCCAUUCGAAAGUUCAGAAAAUCGAAUGCCGCACUUAAGUUGAGGACCAAAAUGAAACUUGACUAAAAGUUUGGGGGCUAAAGUUUGACAAAAUCCCCAGAAAUAACUCAAAUCAAAACAACCAAAUUUCCGUGAGGGUGUCAAUCAAAAAAGUAAAGCUGCAGGGUUACAUUUCAACAUCGAUACAUUUUAACCCCCCGAAAAAAAGAAAAGCAAAACAUUAAUAAAGGUUUCUCAUUUCCUAUUCUAUGAAAGACAGAUGCAGAUCAAAAAGUUUGGGAAUUUAGACUCACAGUCCCGGAGGAGUGGUGAUCAUGGGAUCCCAAGAUCGCAAGUCCCCUCCACAAUAUCUCUGCGCCUGCGGUACGUGGAAUAUCUCAUCCUGGUCCCAACAAUGAAAACAAUUUCACAGAGCAAUUAGCACAACCAUCUAUGGCGCAUUCCAAAAAUUCCAAAAAAAAGGAAAAAACCAACAACAAUACUGCGAUAAGAUAACCAUAUUCACAAAGGAAUUGACACAAACACCUACGUUGCAUUCCGACGACACCCCCAGAAAAAGAUAAAAAAGCGAUAAUUCAAGGAUAAGGUAUCCGGAUUCACAGAGGAAUUAACACAAACACCUGCAGCGCAUAUCACAACAGAAUCCCCAAAAAAGAGAAAAGGAAGAAAAAAGGAAAGAGAAAAAGGGAUUUGAGAAGGAAAUGGAUUGGGGAUCGAACCAUGUAGGGAUCGGGGACCAGGCGAUCGACCAAGAUCGCGAUGGGGAUCGCCCACGCGCCCGCCGCCGCCGCCACCGCGAUCCGGCCCAUCGCGAGCUGGGGGACGAAUCGACUCGAAACGAAUCAAAAUGGACGCUUCGGUGUUUAAUUUGAAGCGCCCGCGCGUGCAGUAGUAAAUAAGACUACAACCGGUACGCUGUGCGGGAUAAAUAUUUAACUGGAAAAUGCUAACCAGAUAGGGGCCCGUGCUGGGGUCUGAGCAUGCGGCCCACGGCCACUCCCGGCACGGCCCUCCUCUCGGGGGCUGGCAGUGCUAGGCCGCACGUCAUCGGCUGGCGGCCCGCACAUGAGGCAGGCUGUGCCACCGGGCCAGUAUGACCCAACAUAUUUUGUAUUAAUUUUUUUUUAUACUUUAUAUAUAUUAUACAAAUAUAUUAAAAGUAUUAAGAAAAAGUUAUCAGAAAAGGUUUUUAAUAACAACUAUAUAUAUCAUAUAAUACUAAUAUAAGAAAGUUUAAAAGUUAAAUAAAAAAAAAAAUUAACAGGAUUCAAAUAACACAUAUAUUUAUAUAGAGCUAGGUUGGUAUACUAUCGGUAGCACGGAGACCAAGUUGCUUUCAAUGAUGCGGCUUCCAAAUCGAUGAUCGGCUCCGUUAGACUUGAUCUACACUAUUGAAAGUAUUUGAAAACUAAAUUUCAUAAUUUUUCGACAUCAUUUACCUAUCAAACGAGUGGUCUAAAAAUGAACAGCUAAAAAUAAAAAUCUAAUAAAAAAUGAUGAUAAAAAACUUGAAUUUAAGAUUAGAGAUAUUGAUCUUACUCUAAAUAGNCCUCGACCUGGGACCGGUCUCUCAGCCUGCCCACGAAAAUCCAACGUUCGGGAACCGGUCUCUCCCUGCGCGGGACCGAUCUCUCCCCGCGCAGACGCGCUCGGGGACCGGUCUCAAAUGCCAGGGACCGGUUGCCUCGCCUGCUGCGCAGCACUGUUCACUGGAGGACCGGUCUCUCCUAUCAGGGACCGGUCCCCGAGAGUAAAAACUCUCAGGACUCUGCCAAAGCUCUCGAGUUCGAACUUUUAGGCCGGUAUACCAUCGACGGCCCUCCACCAAGUGUGGAAAAGUUCGGAAUACACAUCGAACACUCGAACCUCGCAAUUUGCAAAGGUCCAGUGUGCUACAAAUUAUCAUUUACGUAAAGAGGUAUAGUUGAGCAAAAUUAGCAAUCAAAUUAUCGUUUAUAAUUUCCGGUUAAAACUCGGUGCAUCCUGCUAAUUAAUUGAUACUUAAUCACUUAAGUACUCUUUUUUUUUCUAUUACUUGUUGUAGUCGCCAUUUCUCGAGCUGCAAUUGUUUGCAUAUUUUAGACUGCAUCACUUUACUCUCAAUGACUACGGUGGCAAUAUACAGAUCCAAUCAACCAACUCCCUCAUAUCACCCAAUUUACAACAAAAAAGGUAAAAUUCACCAAGAAAAAACUUAAGCAUAAUCACUACCAAUAGAGGAUUGGAAUCCCAAUCUUGAAGCCUCAGCGACAAAUCAAAUACAAAUCAUAAUAGAAAAUCUAAUACCGAAGAUCCGAGUUCGGAAACCUCAAUUGACUGAAACAUCAUAACAUAGAUCUAAAUAAACAAAGAUCUAGAGAGAGAAAGGAAUGGGCAAGGACGAAUUACCUUGGAGUUUGGAGAAGAACUUGGUAGCUGAGGGCUUCGGAGAGUCGCAACAUCCAUUGAAACCUCAAAAGCAAAUUCAAAUAAAAUACUACUAAAAUUUAAAAUAUUAUUGGCUUAAAAAUCCUAGAUAGAUUGCUACGUUGUCAGGCCAAACCAAACUAAAAUAUUAGUUACUUCUUGAUACUUAAAGAAAAAUUGUAAGUACUUCAAAAAUGCACAGGUACAAAAUAGACAAAAAAAAAGUUAUGUCUGAAUUGAAGAAAUUCCCUAUGAUACAUCUGAAGUCAUGACCUAAUAAUGUAUUUAACUUAAGAGAGAUGACUUACAUGUUUUGGUAUGUCCAGGAGUAACUAUCACUUUUGAAACUAUCGAAGGUGCUGUACAAUCUAGAAAAAAUCGUUCACCUACACUUCAAAUAUCAUUACAGAAAAUAAUAAGUAUGAAACUUCAUAGAAUUGAUCAAGUAAGUGGCCUUACAGCAAGAGGAACUACAAAUGUUCUUUUUUUACCUUUUCAAGUCUCUAAGAAAAGAUCACUAUGGUAAAAAUUUGCAAUAAUUAGAAAUUAAGUGCUAACUGGGUGAAUUCUGCCAUAAAUAAUUGUUUAGUCAGUCGCACUUGUGAAAUAAAAUAAAUACUAAGUCAGAUUCAAAGAGUACAAAGGCAGUAGAGAGCCUAGCGUUUUAACAAAGUAGCGACAAUCUGCAUCUACAUCAGCUUCGUAUCUCAUCCAAGCAAAUUUUAAUAAAAAGAGAGAUAUCGCAUCACCCCUCAAUCACAGAUAAACUAAUUUGCCAUUAAGAACUAGAUACACAAAUCCACCGUCCCAGAUUGUCCUUUUCUUGUCCGAAAAUCUAAUUUUCACCUCAGAAAACAGCAAUAAAAAAUAAAUUUUGAAUCAAAUCAAUACAGACAAAAGAAUCUAAUGGAUCAAAACGUGGGCUAUGAUUUGGGAAUCAUCCUUGCAAGAGACGAUGAUGGUGUUCUUGGCUCGGAGGAUUUCUUCAAAGGAGACCGCAGUUCCCAUAGAGGAUGGAGCCGUUGUUGAGUGUGGCAAGGUGAGGAAGGGGAUGGGAGAGAAGAGAGGGGAGGGGAGAGGAGGAAUGCGGCUGUGUGGCAAGGCGAAUGGGCAUACUUGAGAGAGGGAAAUGGGAGGCGGACUGGUGAACAAAGCAAAAAAAUAAAAAAAAACCCUAAGAGAGAGAAGAAGGUGGUAGAAGAACGGACGCACAGGAGGGAGAACGGCGCAUAAAGGAUGAGAGAAGAAACUCUGCAACGGAUGGGGGAGAAGGAAUGACACGGAGGGGAUGGGAGAAAAAAUGUAGGACUAGUUCCAACAGUCCGUACAAAAACCAGAAAAAAGAGAGGCGGUUUGGUUUGGUUCGGUUCGGUUCAGAGGUUUGAAGAUAUAGUGAGCGGUUCGAUUCCGAGGUUGAGAGAGAGAUAGUUCAGUUUGGAUUAGAGAUUCAUAAAUGUAGUGAAGGAUUCGGUUUAGAUGUUAGAAGUAGGGCUGGCAAACGAGCGAGCCGGCUCGCGUUCGACUCGUGUUCGGCUCGAUAUUCGGCUCGCUCGAGCUCGACUCGAAAUUAAAUGAGCCGAGCUUGAACAAAAUAAAAGGCUCGAAAUUCAUUUCAAGCCGAGCUUGAGUAUUNAUAUAGAGUUCGGCGGGAUACUAUCGAUAGCAUUUGGUGCUAUCGAGUUUUCCACCGUUAGAUUUAACCAUUUGAUUAUUUUUACCCAUUAAAUUAUACUAUUCAACCAACCACUCACUCAAUCCUAGGGGGCCCGCAUCAUCCUAACCACCCAUUUCUCAAUCCAAGGGCUAAAAAAUCAAUAGCAUCGAUAGCACCAAGAAUUUGGUGCUAUCGAGUUUUCCACCGUUAGAUUUAACCAUUUGAUUAUUUUUACCCGUUAGAUUAUACUAUUCAACCAACCACUCACUCAAUCCUAUGGGGCCCACAUCAUCUAAUCACCCAUUUCUCAAUCCAAUGGCUAAAAAAUCAAUAGCACCAAUAGCUUGCAGCGGUUCUAUAAAAGUAAAUCAAUAUAUAUAUAACAAAUUAAUCAAAAUGAUAUCAGAAUUAGCUUUCAUUCGUUAGAAUACGCAAAAAAAAAUCGGGAAGUACUUACAAUGCAUAAAAUGAUAGUGGAAAGCCCUACUCUAUAUUUCGUUAAAUGGGUCUAAAGAUACAUUUAUUAUAGCAAUGAGAGAAUAACAUGAUCUACAAAUACAAAGAGAUUUAGAAUUAACUUCCUAAUUCCUAUACAUUAUAAUUUACAAACUCUCUUUCACGGGUAAAUCCUAUGACUUUAAUGCCCCUUCUUCGAAUGUCUAUAAGGCUUUCAUCAGUUGCCUUAUAUCGUCAGAAAUCUUUUUCUCAAUGUAUUAUAACUCUUAACGCACUAAAAUCCAACAAAAUAAAAAAAAAAAGAACAAAAUUAGAAUAGAUAGAAAUUCAGGUUUGAAAUAAUUUAAAUUUUAAAUGAAAAAUAUAAAUUACUUAAGAAUAGAAUAAUCACAAAUGCACUUGUCCUUAUGAUGUUAUGAGAAGAAAUAUAUCUAAUUCACUCAAUAGUUGAUAGAGCAAAAAUCUGCAAUGGGAAAUAACGAAGCAAGAACAACAGAACAGUAAGCAAAAAUAAGUAGAAAAAAGAUUCACUGAAUAGGAGCUCGGAUGGCUAGAUUUUUAUCAAUAUUUUUGCACUAAAUACACCAUUUUUUCUUCUUGCAAAUCAAUAAUUUGUGAACAAUUAAUAGAAGCAAGAGUUGCCCAUCAUUGCUUAUUUCUUUAUACACACUUAUUAAUUUCAAAUUAUUAUUCCUGUGAACCUUCACCCUUACUUUUGGUGAAUAAGACCCACAUUUAAUGUAAAUAGACUAUUGAACUCUAUAUGUAACAUGAAAGCAUAGUAUUAAGUAUAAUCAACAUAAGCAAAAACUUUAAGAGAAAUAUUUAUACCAUCCUUUCUUUUUUAAUUGGUAAAAAAAUAUAUGAAACUUACCUAAACUAUGAACUAUUUUAAGUUAGCGAUGUAAUCUUUGCAAAUUUUGAUUUUACUAUCUAACCUCUCAAUUUAUUUGAUUUGAAUCAGUCAAUGACAUUUUGACUUUAAAAUUUGGAUGUCUCGUUUGUCUUUACAUAUUUAGUUUGUAUAUUUUAUACGAUUCUCAAAGCUAUGAAUUUAAUUAAAGUAAUUAGCUUAUAUUUUGGAGUCAAACUAUCUCCGACUGACUUAAAGCAAACAGAUUGAAAGGUUAAAUAAUAAAAUUAUAAUUUUGAAAGAUUAGGUAGCCUAUUCAAAAUGGUAUGUACAGUUAUACCUUUCUUUUCAAAGAGGUAGCCUCAAUACCGUAGUAGGAAGUAUGAAUUUCUAGAAAUUUGUAUUGCUAUGUUGGCAAGGAAAAAUAAAAAGAAAACAUAGAAUAGAAUUCAAAAUAGAAGGAGAAAAGGACUAUCAACAUCUCCCAAAAUCACAUGAAAAUUCCAAACACCAAAAAUAAAAUAUGCAUAAUUGCUUAUCAUAUGACAUUUAUAUAUAUAAAAAUAAUCAUAUAUUUUGAGGAACUAAAAAGUGUUCAAGUCAUGUAAUCUUCUCAUUGCUGAAUUUUGGAACCUACAAAAUGUUCUGCAUUUUUGUUAUUUCAUCUCCUAAAUUUGGCAACUCACAUUGCUGUUAUACAGUGAUCUGUCAUUCAACAACCUAUCUGGUAAAAUCCCUGGAGAAUUGGGGUAGUUGCAGGAUAGAACAUUGGAACUUUGUAAGUCCCAUUUUCUAUAUAUUUCUUAUUUUGUCGUAAAAGAGACUUUUCUUCUAUGAAUUAUUUUAACAAACUUGUCAUAAAUAUGUAGGAUCCUGAAUAACAAAGACUUGUAUGGAGAUGUACCUGCUUAGUUAACCAAUUGCUUUAGCUUAACUUUAUUGUAAACUUUUUCCUAUUUUAGCAUCAUUUUAAAAAAUAUUUACAUCGACUUUAAAAUUACAUUAUUGUCCAUCUGGUUUUAAUUUCAGGAACCUCUCUUACAACAACUUUUCUAGACAUGUCCCAUUGUCAAAAAACUUUUCAAAGUUUUCAACAGAAAGGUAUUAAAGACACUAAAUUUUAUUUCUUUCCUUAUUUUUAUCAAGAUUGAUCUUAUUAUUAUUAUUAUUAUUAUUAUUAUUUGAUGCAUGUUUUCAGCUUCGUGGGCAAUCCAAUACUCUUUGGUUGCUUUUCGCUAGUUGAGCAAAAUUAGCAAUCAAAUUAUGUCACGCCCCGGGACCCAGCGGAAGCCUGCCCGGCACGUGCCCAGACCCGCCAUACGUCUAAAACGUAUAAGGCGUCUUAAACAACAAUAAUGAAAGCAAUAAUAAAAGACAUCUAGGAGUAUCAGAGCAUAAUAAAUAUCUAAAUGCUACAACCAAGGAUAAGGAUAAACUGUAAAUCCACUAUGUAAUAUACCGAAAAUUCGGAAAAUAAAAAUGUCGAACUUUAGUCAAAUUGACCAAAGUGCGAGGAUGGAACACUUCGGAAAGUCCGAAGGUGUUAAAAUGAUUAAAAGUGAGUUGUGGAAGGUUUUCGAGAGCUAAAGAAUUGAAUNAAUUUCAAUCGGCUCGUUUAGAGCUCGAGCUCGGCUCGACUCGAAAUUAGGCUCGCUCGAGCUCGGCUCGAAUUAAUUUCAAGCCGAGCUUGAGCCUAGAUUUAGGCUCGAAAUUAAUUUCAAGCCGAAUUUGAGCUGACAUAAGCUUGCUCGAGCUCGGCUCGUUUCCACCCCUAGUUAGAAGUGGUUCGGUUCGAUUUAGAGGUUCAGAGACGCAGUGAAGAGUUCGGUUUAGAUAUUAAAAAAGCGGUUCAAUUUAGAGAAGAGGCAAGUGAAAGUGGUGAAUGGAGCGGUUCAGUUCAAAAGAAACGAUUCGAUUUAAAAGAGGAGCAUGUGAGGGUGAAGGAAGGCUUGCCACGUGGCAAAAAUAUUGGGGAUUCAUAUUAGUUUAUAGAUAUAUAUGCCAAUUUGCAUAAAAAAUCUACAACUUUUGAGCUUUUGCAAAACUGGGCCCACUUUUUUGAUUUUGCAGAUUCGAUCUGAAUUUUCAGCAAACUGACCAAAAUACCCUUAUUUCCUUUUCUCUCUUCUCUUUUUUUUUCUCUUGUUUAUUUUUUUUCUCUUCGAAGAAGGCAGCGAAGGCAGAGGCGGAGGAGGAAACGGCUCGCCUCGCCUCUCACCCUUAUGCCCUCGCCCUCGUCGGCGCAUCCCGCCGCUUUCCUCGCCUCCGACCUCGUCGAGGCCGUCGUGACUCUUUUUUUUUUUCCUUCUCCAACCCUCCUCCGUCGUCUCUGAUAAUGACGCCUCUCUCGCCUCUCUCGCCCUUCCCCGCCCUUUCCCUCUCCCUCUCCCUCUCCCUUCUCCUCCGCCUCCUCUGCUGCCUUCGGCGACGACGCCUCUCCACCGAGGAGCGAGGGGUCCUUAGUGGCGUUGUCUCCGACGCCAUAGCUAUUGGCGGAGAGGGAUGACCAAAAAGAAAAUUGUAGAAAAAGAAAGAAGAAAAAAUUAAAGACCAAAAAUUAUAAAAGAAUGAAAAUGAAGAUAAAAUUGUACUGUUAAAAUAAAAUUAUACUGUUUAAAAAAAAUUUCGUUGUUUUAAAUGAAAGUUGCACUCUUUGAGAUAGAAAUUACACUCUUUGAAAUCAGAUUUACACUCUUUAGGAUAAAGUUGCACUCUUUAGGUGAAAUUUAUACUAUUUUUCUUUUCUUUCUUCUUCCUUCAAUUUACACCAUUUUUCUUUUCUUGCUCUUCUUCCUCCUCCUCCUUCUCCUCCACUUUUCCCCUCCAUCGCUGAACGUCGCGUGGUUGCGGCAGAUGCGCACCGCCAGGAUCGCCCCCGAGGCCGCGCCGCAACUUUUUUUUUUUCCCUCUCCGACUCUCCUCCACCGUCCAACAACGACGCUUAUCUCGUCAUCUCUCGCCCUUCCCCGCCCUUCUCGGCCUCUCCCUCUCCCUCUUCGUCCUCCUCCGCCUCCUCCAUCGCCUCCGACGACGACGCUUCUCUGCCGACGACGACUCCACGGAGGUCGCUACGGCGCCACAGCCUCAAAGCGAGGGUCCUUAGCAGCGUCGUCGCCGGCACCGCGGCCGUUGGUGAAGAAGUGUGAUAAAAAAAAAUUGUAGAAGAAGGAAGAAGAAAAAAUUAAAGACAAAAAAUUAUAAAAGAAGAAAGAUGAAGAAAAAAUUGCACUGUUAAAAUAAAAUUACACAGUUUAAAAAAAAAUUUGCAUUGUUUUAAAUGAAAGUUGUACUCUUUGAGACAGAUUACACUCUUUGAGACAAAGUUGCACUUUUUAGAUAAAAUUUACACCAUUUUUUUUCCUUCUUUGUCCUCUAAUUUACACCAAUUUUCUUUCUCUUUCUCUUCUUCCUCCUUCUCCUUUCCCUCUACUUUUCCUCUCCGUCGCUGAACGUGGCGUGGUCGCGGUGGAUGCACAUCGCGUGGUUCGCCCCGAAGGCCGCGCCGCGACUCUUUUUUUUUCCCCUCUCCUACCCUCCUCCAGCUCUCCGACGAUGACGGCUCUCUCGCCGUCUCUAGCCUUUCCCUGCCCUUCUCGCCAUCUCCCUUUCCUUCUUCCUUUGCCUCCGACGACGAUGCCUCUUCACCGACGCCGACGCAACGGAGGUCGCUGCGACGCCGCAGCCUCGGAGCGAGGGGUGCUUAGCAGCCUUUGGUGGAGAGGCGUGACCAAAAAAAUUAUAAUAGAAGGAAGAAGAAAAAAAUAAAGACCAAAAUUUAUAGAAGAAGGGAGAUGAAGAUGAAAUUGCAUUGUUAAAAUAAAAUCACACUAACGACGAAAAACUUGAUAGCACCAAACGCUUUGUGCUAUUGAUAGUAUAUCCCAGCCGGACUCUAUAUAUAUAUAUACACAGAAAGAGAGAGAGAGAGAGAUUAAAGAACCAAGUCAUUGGUGCUUCUAAGUUUUCAGCCUUAGAUGAAGAUGUCGGGUUAGGAUAAUUUCUAGGGGACCACUAUUAUCCUAAACCUACAAAAUCUUCAUUCAAAGACCGAAAACCGACAAGCACUAAUGACCCGGUGUUUUUAAAAGCAUAAAAGCUCCAUAUAUAUAUAUAUAUAUAUAUAUAUAGAGAGAGAGAGAGAGAGAGAGAGAGAGAGAGAGAGAGAGAGAGAGUCCUGCUGGAAUACUAUCGAUAGUACCAAGGAUUUGGUGCUAUCAAGUUUUCCACCGUUAAAUUUAAUCCUUUGAUUAUUUUUACCUAUUGGAUUAUACUAUUCAACAAACCACUCACUCAACCCUAGGGGGCCCACAUCAUCUUAACUACAUAUUUCUCAAUCCAAGAGCUAAAAAACUAAUAGCACAAAUAGCUUGGUGCUAUUGAUAGUAUUCCAGCAUAUAUAUAUAUAUAUAUAUAUAAGGAGCUAGGCUACUAUACUAUCUAUAGUACCGAGCUCCGGCACUAUAGUGUUGGUUUUCGAUCUUAGGACGUUCAAAUCAACGAUCCACACCGUUAAAAUAGAUCUAGGGUAUUUAAAGUUUCUAGAUAUAAAAUUUUAUAUUUUUUCGACAUAGUUUAUUUUAUGAUCAAACUAUUACAAAAUUGUCAAUUUUUAAUGGCUAUUAUGACGAGUUUGGAGUUUAACGGUGUAGAAGAAUUUAAAUUUCUUCAAAUUUUGAUAGAAAAUACUUUAAACUAUAUAGAUUAAGGUUAAAUUCUGAUCUUGAAUUUAAAAAGUUCUAUUACCUCAAAUUUAAAAAUUAUUACAUUUUACCAGUCCAAUUUUGAUAUAAUAUUUACUUAAGUAUAACGAUAUUCGAAAAACUAAAUUUUAUCUAAUGAAUUCAUUAUACUCUUCAGAUCAUAGCUUUAACGGCUGUGGAUCGUCUGAUUUGAAUGCCCUAAAGAUCGAAAAACCAACACCUAUACCGUCACCGGAGCUCGAUACUAUAGAUAGUAUACGUAGCCUAAUUCAUAUAUAAGUAGCGGCUACUAUAUCUCUUAAUGAGUAAAUCGCCUUCCGUACUUAUAGUUGUUCGAGUAUGAACUUUCCAAUCGACGAAUCCAACUGUUAAAUAUAUUAUCUAGAGUAUUAAAACUUCUAGAAACUUAAAUUUUAAAAUUUUUCGAUAUCAUUACCUUACGAAUGCAAAAAGCGCAGCAAUAAUGACAAUUUUUAACGCUAUGUGAUGAAUGUUUGCUAGUUUAACGGUGACGAAGAAUCAGGAAUAGGUUGAAAUUUUUGAAGAAAAUUCUAUUCGCAUACGCUAAGUAAGGAUCAAUAACUCCGAUCUUAAAUUGAAGGAUCCGCAUCAUACCAUUUUUAGGAUGUCGUUCGAUUUAAACACGUGUAUUCAUCUUACCCGCUUGAUGAACUUCUAUACAUUGAUUUCGAAAAUUACGGAAUUUAUUUUCUAUAAGUUUCAAACCUACUCUAGAUCAUGUUUAACUCGCGUGCUGGAUCGUCGAUUCGAAAACCCCCAAUAUAUAAACAUUUAUGAUACGAAGGGUGCUCUAUACUCAUAAAGUAUAGUAACCCUACUCUAUAUAUAAUAUACUACUAUAUAUAUUGAAUAGUAUUAUAUAUAUAUAUAUUAGUAGGACUGCGUGCUCUCAGGAGCAAGAGGCUUUCGUGCUCCUGAGUGCCGUUACGAUGAGGAAUUUCUAGAUCGACGAUCGUACGCUAGAUUGAUCUAAGCGUAUUAGUUUCUAAGAAAAUAAUUUUUAACGAUUUUUUCGUAUCAUUUACCUAACAUCGGAAAGGAUUAAAAAUCAAUAAUUUUAAAGCGGCUGGAAAUAAAAUCCUAUAUAAGUCGGUGAUAUAGCACUGAAAUUUUCGAUCAGAAGAUAUUGUCCUUGUUGUACGAUAGUAUAAGUUGUGAUCAAAAUUCAUACUGAUUUGAAUACUUUUACAUCCGUUAACACUUGAAAACAGCAGAUAUCAACCAUUAAAAUUAUUGGAUUUUGAAUCCUUUCGAUCACUAGGUAAAUGAUAUCAAAAAAUUGCAAGAAUUACUUUUCUAGGAAACUUCCACAUAACGCCUAAAUUUAAGUUAACGGACCGAUCGUAUCGAUAUCGAAAAUUCCAGCAUCCAAAAACGGAUUCAGAGCCAGAGGCGCUUCGUGCUCCUGAGAGCAAGCACCCUACCUAAUAAUAUAGUUAAAUUCUGAUCUUGAAUUUAAAAAGUUCUAUUACCUCAAAUUUAAAAAUUAUUACAUUUUACCAGUCCAAUUUUGAUAUAAUAUUUACUUAAGUAUAACGAUAUUCGAAAAACUAAAUUUUAUCUGAAUUCAUAUACCUAGAUCAUAUUUAAUCGGCUGGUGGAUCGUUGAUUUGAAUUGGCCCUAAAGAUCGAAUAACCAACACCUUAUAGUACCGGAGCUCGGAUACUAUAGAUAGUAUAGUAGCCUAAUUCUUAUAUAUAAGUAGGCUAACUAUACUCUUAUGAGUACUAAUCGCCCUUCCGUACUUAUAUUGUUUUCGGAUGAUCGAACUUCCGAAUCGACGAUCCAUACUCGUUAAAUAAAUAUUAUUAGAGUAUUAAAACUUCUAGAAAUUAAUUUUAAAAUUUUUCGAUAUCAUUACCUUACCGAAUCAAAAGCGCACAAAUUGACAAUUUUUACACAGCCUAGUAUGAGAUAUUUGCUAGUUUAACGGUGACAGAAUCAGGAAUAGUGUUGAAUUUUUGAAGAAAAUUUCUAUUCGCUACGUAAGUAAAGAUCAAUAACUCCGAUCUUAAAUUGAAGGAUCCGCAUCAUACCAUUUUUAGGAUGUCGUUCGACUUUUAACCGUUAUUCUUAUACCCGCUUGAUGGAACUUUAUAAUUGAUUUCGAAAAUUACGGAAUUAUUUUCUAUAAAGUUUCAAAUACUCUAGAUCAUGAUUUAAGCUGGGUGUGGAUCGUCCGGAUUCGAACCCCAAUAUCAUAACACUUAUGAGUACGAAGGGCUCUAUACUCAUAAGUAUAGUAACCCUACUCUAUAUAUAAUAUAUACUACUAUAUCAUAUAUGAUAUAUUAUUAUAUAUAUAUAUAGUAGGACUGCUGUGCUUCUCAGGAGCACAGAGGCUUCUCGUGGCUCCUGAGUGCCGUUUACGAUGAUGGAAUUUCUAAUCGACGAUGCGGUACGCAGAUUGAUCUAAGCGUAUUGAAGUUUCUAAGAAAACUAAUUUUUUAACGAUUUUUUCGUAUCAUUUACCUAAACAUCGAAAGGAUUAAAUCAAUAAUUUUUAACAGGGCUGGAAAUAAAAAUCCUAUAAAGUGGUGAAUAUAGCACUGAAAUUGUUGAUCAGAAAUAUUGUCCUGUUGUACGAUAGUAUAGUUGUAUCAAAAUUUCAUCUGAUUUGAAUACUUUUACAUCCGUUAAACCUUGCAAACAGCAGAUAUCAACCAUUAAAAUUAUUGGAUUUUGAAUCCUUUCGAUCACUAGGUAAAUGAUAUCAAAAAAUUGCAAGAAUUACUUUUCUAGGAAACUUCCACAUAACGCCUAAAUUUAAGUUAACGGACCGAUCGUAUCGAUAUCGAAAAUUCCAGCAUCCAAAAACGGAUUCAGAGCCAGAGGCGCUUCGUGCUCCUGAGAGCAAGCACCCUACCUAAUAAUAUAAUAUAUAAUUUUAUAUAUAGCGAGAGAGAGAGAGAGAGAUGAGAGAGAGAGUGUUGUUGGGUUGGAAAGCUAAUCUGAUAGAUAUUUGGCCUUUUUUUGGUCUCAUUAUUUCUUUAACCCAUUAGAUGAGGAAAUUGUAGUUAGUAUAAUAUUAGCCCCUUAGGCCUAUUUAUCCACCGCUUAUUCAGCCAAAACCAACGUGUUUUUUUAAGCCAAGGAAUAUUUUAUCUCGUCAAACCUUGCUAUUUCGCGAUAUUCGGAAUACUUGAGAUUUGUUAUUCCACGCAUUAUUAAUGGAAUAAGUGCUAUCCAAUGUUUAUUUCAAACUUAAUUUAAAUUAUAGAAAUGAAUUAAAACUAAUUAUAUAAAUAUCAAUAUUUUAUAUAUUAUAAUACAUUAUUUUUUAUAAAAAUUAUUAAUUUUGUAGUAUAUUCAUAAAUUAUUUUAUUUAAUAUUAUAAUGAAUUUAUAAAUAAAAUUAUAUUUAAAUAUUAUUAUAACAAUUCUUUUUAUUAAAUUUAAGUUUAAGUAGAAUUUUAAAAAAAAUUACUAAAUUUAUGGUAAUAAUAUAAAUUAUUUUUAUUAAUUAGUUUCACACGCUAUUUUAUUUUAAAUAUUUAAAAUUUAAAAAAUUUAAAUUUGUUAAAAUUUAUAAUUUGUAAUUAAAAUUAAAUUAAAUUUUACUAAUUUAAUUACUUUAAAAUUUUAAAUUAAAGUUAUGAUAUUUUAAAUUUUUGAAUGUUUAAAGAUUUGAUACUUUUUAUAUUUGUUCCAAAUUUUAAUUUGAUCUUGAAAUUCUAAAGUUUGAAAUUUAAAAUUUAAAAUUUUGAAUUUAAAAUUUGAGAUUUUAAAUUUUAAAUUUUAAUUUCAAAUUUUUAAAUUUCAAAGUUAAAAUUUUAAAUUUAAAAUAUAAAUUUUAAAUUUUAAAAACUCAAAUUCCAAUAUAAUAAGAGGGUAAUAUCAUUAUUUUUAAUUUAUAAAAAUCCACUUUUCUUCUUAUUCCAUCUUACCUAACCAAACGCUAUUUUGUUUAUUCCCGGGAAUAAUCCAAUUUUCACCCAAACACAAAAUUAAUCUAAUACCUGCUUAUACCUCAAUUUAUACCUAUCCCUAGAAUAACCACUUUUUGUUUAUCCCCAAACCAAACAAUACCUUAGGAUUGAGAGGUCCCCACUGAGUUAUAAUAUUUCAUCUAAUGGUUAGAAAUGAUUAAGCUAGUGUUUGGUUGGGGGUUAAAAGGGGGUUCCCUUUCACCCGUUAGAUCAUACUAUUCAACCAACCACCCACUCAAUCCUAGAGAGCCCACAUCAUCCUAAUCGCACAUCUCUUAAUUCAAUGGCCAAAAACUUAGUAGCACCAAUAACUUGGUGCUAUUAAUAGCAUAUUAGCCUAGUUCUAUAUAAAAUUAAGCUAGAAUCCUAACAAUAGCAUAAAGUUAUUGGUGUUAUAUGAUUUUUGACCCUUGGAUAAAGCGAUGUUCGUAUAGGAUGUAGUGGUUACCUAGGGUCGAGUGUGUGAUUGAUUGAAUAAUAUGAUCUAACAAGUGAAAAUGAUUAAAGGGUAAAUUUAUCGACAGAAAACUCAAUAGUAUCGUAGAAAAACUGGAAGGCUAACAAUCAGAAAUUAUACCCAAGGGAAAUUUUUUUUAAAAAAAAAAAAAGGGAAAAGGAAAACCAUUGCACAACGCUUGUGUGUCCUACACUAAAUUUCAGUGCCUAGAUGGGGCAUAUCGAACGGUUGUUGAGCCAAUAACGCAUGUUUAACAGUAUAUGCAGUUAACAGGUUGCUCCAUGUAAUUUAGCUUUCCAACAUCACAACAAAACCUUCCACAUGUUUUUUCUAUUAAGAACUCAACUGGGCGUAGUACCGCAAAAAAUUUAGUAUAGAACAUAAAAUCAAGUUUUUAUCCCUUUCAUCGUGUAUAUAUAUAAAAGUUCAUUACAGUAAUAAUAUUAAAACUUCCCUAGAUCAAUAACAGUAGAACAAUACGUAAUCUAAACUACUGAUGAGAUCGACUAGGAGGUUAACCUUCUUAGAUUUUCACAUUUUACUAGAGAAAAAUUUUAUGCUGACAACCAAGCUACAGAAACACAACCAUCCUUUCAAAUCCACGCGAGAACUAUUGAUACGAUCAAUGAGAUGAAAUACAUAUUGUAAAUCUUAAUGAAUUUACCAGCAAUGAAUUCAAGCGAAUAGAAACAGUACAACAGGAAAAACAAGGGGUAAGAGUGAACAGCAAACUAUUUCCUACUUGCAAUUUGAUGAUUGAAGCUGAAUUUGAUGUAAAAAGGUGCAACAAUUAAAAAUCAAAAAUAAGAAGACAAACCACUAACUGAUUUUCAUUUACAUUUGGCGCAUAAAAUCUUUUACAUGAAAAAAAUAAUGAAACUUGCAGGCUUUUUAGAUAAAUAGUCUGGUGAUCAGGCUUUGUAGAUAAGGUUAAACCUUGUGGUGUGGAGUCAAUUUGUUUACUGCAAUUUGGAGUUAGUAAUAUUAGAUAACUGAUGAAGUUUCUUUUUCCCCUAGGAAUUCAGUUCUAUGGGGAAAAUUAAAAUGGAAAAUAAGUUUGUGGUCUUUCCACAUCAAAUAGAAGUUAUCGGUCAAAUUGCAAGUUGGAAAAAGUCAAGGGAUUUUUUUUUAUGAUAAAACCCCCGCCGAAAAAAAAGAAAAAUAUCUCCAAUGAUAUGCCACCAAAGUGCAGCUUACUUAUAUAAAAGCAAGGAACGCCAUCAGCCUGAAACAAAUUGAUCGAAGCACAAUAUGCAUCUAUAACAUGGUCACAAAAUCAGAAACAUGAGGCACAUUCACACGUAACUCAUCUGCAGAUUCGAUCAGCUUGCUUAUAGGAAAUAGCAAACUAGGCUACAAUGAAAAGCUGAUAAGGAAAAGGAAUAUGUACAUUCAACCAAAACAAAAGCAUAGUAGAAUACCAUAAACACAAAGCAUCCUUAUAAUAGAUCAGCAUUCAGCAAAAGGCACUAGUUGAAGUUCAGUUUGAAACUGAACCUCAAACAAAACUAGCGAACAAAGCAGGCAUUUAGCACCACUAUACACAAAUACUAAAAGGCAUUAGAAAGAAAGAGAACCUCAGCGAAGGCGUUUCAAUAACCACCAACAUACUGGUUAGCGUAUCUCCCUGAUACAUUUCCACCUCCGUAAGCUGAACCUGCAGCACCUACACCGGGACAAUCUCUAGCCCAAUGCCCAGGUUGUUGGCAUUUAAAGCAAGUAUUGGAAUCAUUGCUGGGCCUAUUGGCAAAAUUCCCACCAAAAGACUGUCCUUGCCGACUUAUGCUCAUUGGGCAGUUCAGGGAAUUGUGACCAGGUGAUCCACAGUUAUUACAUAAUUCCCUAGCCCCAAUAUUGUGAUUCAUAAUGCCUCCAUAUUGGUUCAUAGUCUGGCCUAGCUGAUUCAUACCAAUAUUCACGCCGACAUUGUUGGUUGCAGGAUGUAUAUUAGGCUUGACAUCCAUAGUAAUACCGGAACCAGAAGCAAAAUUUGGAUUCCCAUGGAUCCGUGAAGCUGCAUUUGAAUCUUCAUUAGAAAACUUCUCGAUCAGUCCCAGAAGAUACCGGCUCUCUGACGAAGGGUUGAUUUUUUCAGCCUUAAUAACAGUUGAUUUAACACGUUGCUCCUCACUAAAUGUCUCUUCUUUGACCUUUAACUUGAACAGAUACUGAUUAAAGGAAACAUUACGAAUAAUAUCAGAGAACUUCACAUCAUCCUGUUCUUCGUAUUUCACCAAGUAUAACUCCUUCGCUGGAACGCCCAUAAGCUCUUCACCGGCUUCUUGAAAAGCUGUAACCCAAGUCGUGCCAGUGUGAUCCUGAAUCUGAAACUGAAGUAGGUAUCUAUAAUCACAUUCUGGAAAACUCUGAUCGCAGCGGUCACAGUGCCACGUGCCAUCACCGUUAUUAUUCACCUUUUUGUUGCAGUGCCUAUCCCCUACCAUCAGCGGGCAAGCAGUGUAACAGAAAUUAUCAGUCUUUAUAAAUGUAACGGUCGCUUUAAUAGUUAUCCAAUCAGGCUUUUCAGAUCUCCCUAAACCUUCAUCCUUAAUUUGCGAAACAGUUUUACGAGUGUCUGUCCUUCCCAUAGUUGAUGUAUCUCUAGAUAUAGAAAGGGAAGCCGUGUUCUUACCUUCUCUGUUAUACCACUCCUUCAAUCUCUGUGCUUCUGAAAAAUCUGGGUCAAUAAAUAACUGACUCGUGCUUAUUGUCCCAACUGAUUUACCUCCAAAAUCACUGACUCUACCAGCUUUCACAGCCAAUACAGGAAAUACACCUGAGUCACACAUAGUCUGCAUGCACUGGCCUUCAGUGUUGCAAAAGUUUCCCCACAACGUGAUUUCCACGCUGCGACCAGACAUGUCCUUCAGUUGCAGAGUCCUUUUCUGGGUUUCAGUGCCAUUCUUCCUCAUUAUAGUAGCAGCUGGAGUUAUUGAUGAAACUACACCGAUCACAUCCACCAUUGAAUUGCUUUCUAGGGAUUCAAUUUCACUCACCGGACGAAAAUUAAACUGCUGCUUUGGAAUAGAAUUAUCCUCCUCUACACAAGGUUGGACAGUCGAUGUAGAGUCUAGAAAUAUUUCGUAAUCAUUGUUUAAAUGAUUGAAGGUUUUCUGUGCAGGCCUUAAACUUCCUUUAGAUAUCAAAUACACUCUUCCAGCCUCAAUCUGGUCAUAGAACUGAUCAGCUACCGUGUUAAAGCAAGUAACACGAAUUUCUCCCCCAUCAGAAUCGAGGAGAUCAAAAGAAAAGACCUUGCCCUCCCCCCUAGGGUUGUUAUAGCGGCGGAGCUCAGUUUUUGCUGUAACCCUAGCUUUAAUAGUCCACCUACCCUGGUAAGGGUUUAGAGCAGCAAUAGGAAUAAUCCUAGCAGGGGCUUCAUUUUUAGCAAUGGGUCCUCUGUUUACAUACAUUGAAGGAGGUUGCUGGUACGUGGGCAGCGCUGGCCGGCUAUAAGUACUACCCGGAGGGCGAAACUGUCCACCCGGCCCGGCAUUAGAAAAUGUUUGAUUUUGAUUUCCACUAAUUGCAUGCGUGUUAUUGGUAUUUGCCGUGUUCCUUCCCUGCAUGGAUCCACUGCCAUACAUCCCACUCCCACCAUAUGAUGGAUUAUUCAUAACAGGCUCUGGUUUCGGAAUAACAGAAGCUCCACCACCCAUAGCAUUUGGGCCGCUAGAGUGGGACCCAGCAAAGGGUUGAGGAUUUAUAGUAGCUUUACUGGGUUGAUCAACAGUUGACGGCAGAGCAGACACAGGAGCUCGGUUUUGUGAAGCAGAAGUGGCAUUAUUAUCGUAGGUUUUUGGGUUCCCAAUCAUCUCACUUUCACCACGUAGGACCUCCAGGUUUAUGAUAAUUAUGAUCCUAAUAACAAAAAUCCCAGGAAAAAAAUAAAGCUUAAUGCAAUCGGGAAUAAGUACAUGCAAAGUCCAUAAAGGCAUCAAUCAAGGAAAGAAGCUAAUGAAAAUAGUAAUUUUCUUCUAGUGGUGAAAAAUGCUUUCUGAUCACAGAGCGGUGCUAAUCAAUAAGAAGACAACAACUCCAUAAGCAAACUCACAUAAAAGCAUGAGUUUGAUUGGUACGAGAAUAGCUUAAACCCUCACAUAAUAGAACUGAAGCAUAUAACAACAAUCUAGGAUGAUCGAGAAUUAAAAGAACCAUCUUUAUGAGAUAAACAACUGAGAACUCCCAAAUCCCGAUCAUAACUCCGUAAAGACAAUAGCAUAUUCUCUUUACCUAAGAAAACAAAUUGAAUAAGGAAAUGAACAGCCAUCAAAAUUUCCUUCUCCAUUAUGAACCCGGGGCUUCUUGUUCCAACAAGAUCAAAAUUAUGAUAAUGCUAGCACCUUACCUCAUCUACAGAAUAAACUAUCAGAAAACCCUAAUCAACAAAUACGUAACGCGAUAGCGCGAGAGAGAUUACCUUCGGCCUUGGAUAACAUUACAGAUGUACUCAUUAAGCUGCACGAUGGAUCCCUUCUGGAGCGAACCGGACUUGACGAUGCCGUUCAUCUGCGUGGCGAGCAUCGCCUGCUGCAUGUGGACUCCGUCGGAGAGAAGCAUCCGGUACCUCUCCGUCGUGCUCUGCGCCGUGUUCACCAGCCUCAGAUCCCACACCUGCAGCACGGGGCGCAUCCCCUCGGCGCCCCCCUCGGAGAUCGCCGCCACCGCCCCCCGCGUCAGAUCCGCCGACGAAGCCAUCCCCUUUCCCCGGUCCCUCCCCCACCUCACAAGCACCUGCUUCAACACAGCGGAAACCCUAGGUUACGAAUCGCCCCGUGAGAAGAGGAGAGGGCGUAAUCGGUGAAGAAGCUACCAAAGAUCGGCGAAUUGGGGAAGAAGAGAGGACGAGGACGAUAAGAUUGUGUUAGGGUUUCAAUAGAAUUUGGGCGCGCGCUAGAGAGAGAGAGAGAGAGAGAGAGAGAGAGAGUGGCGAAGAGGGACGAGAGAGGGUUUUGAAAGAACCCUAGAAGAGCCGCAGAGUGUUUUAGAGGGAAAACCGAGCGGCGAAAUGAGGCGUUUUGGAAUUUCUACGCAGUUGUUUUGGUAGACCUGGUUUACCACGUCAUGCAUGUCUUGCGAAAUAUCUCGCCCUUGCGAUGUCUUUUUACAUUCUGGUCUAUGAACGACUUUGGUGCACGUAAACUUCCCCUUAAAUGCGCGAUGAUUCCAUUCCCCGGUGACGCGACGCGCCGGUCCCACUUCCCCCCUAUAAGGCGCCUCCACGUGUCCAUCUUCCCAAGUGGGCGGACCGAUGAUUAGUUGGAAGAGGUCCACCGUUCUUAAUUUGUAGACCGCCUAGUGAUCGAAGGUUCCAUUUCGUUUCUACUGACAAAACAAGGGAUUAUCAUUUAUAACUCAUUGGAUUACCGCGUGUUUGUUUUCAUGAAAGUCCGGCUUUCAAGUCGCCACUUUGUGGAACUCGAGAUUGCCGGCAUUUGAAUGACGCUACAGUCUUAGAAAUCGGUGAAGUAACCUGCACUCUAGAGAUGAUCUCAUGUGGAUAAAACUUUCGUAGCAAGCUGCCAAAGAAUAUCUCGUUGGAAACCCCCUAAUCUACUAUUAUAUAUUAAUUUUAACUUCAAUUAAUAAUUCGUUUAGUUUUUUUUAAUAUAAAAAUUUUUAAAAAAAUUAAUACUCUAAAAGAAAGAAGUAUAAAUUUUGAAUAGAAAUAAAAGAGACAGGUAGUGACAGAUUGGGGCCCUUAAUAAAGCGUCGCCGGAAACCCCUAUUAAAGUUUUUUUCGUCUCAUGCAACGGCUAGCUCGAGAAUAACGCAAACUCGCCGCUCCACGAUCAUCAUGCGCGAAUUUGAGUUUUGCUCUUAAGGACGAAACUCACAUGCCUUACAGGGAGUCGAGCUUGUGUUAAUAGACGCACCAUUAUUGGAGCUAGGUGACCAUGUUGUCAAGGACUUAGUGAUUUUUCAAUGCGGCCAAGUCUCUGGCCCAACUUCGCUAAGUGGGCAGCCAAAAAGGCACCAAAACCAGCAACCUUUCAUGGAAGAUGAAGAAUCAUAUAACUGCUGCAAUUAAUGCCUCCAUAACUGGCAGCGAAAACUCAAGGGAUAUGGGCAACUCUUGGUAUCACCUUACAAUCAUUGGGCAUUUAUGAUGGCUCAUUAUUAUGUGAUAGCGGGUGAGUUAAUGUGUGUUUAAUGGUGAGUUUGUGUAGGCUAGAUUCAAUAUAUCUAGAAGCCUAUAAAUAGGAGGGCUGGCUAAGGUCAAAGUAGAAGUAGGGAAGGUAGAGCCACAAGAGGAGUUGUGUAUUAUAGCCCUAUUUUUCUAGAUAGUUGAGUACUUAGUUUUUUGAGAACUUCUGCCUCUCUCUUUUCUCUCUUUUUUGCAUACUUAGUCGCAGGGCGUGGAGGUCUAGGCCAUAGUUAGUUAAUUCGGAUUCGGCAAAAAUUCGGUACGGGUAUAAUUCGGAUAAAAUUCGUCUUCUAAUUUUUAAAUUCGUUGAAAAAAACGGCUAAAAAACGGAUUCGCCGAUUAUUCGGAUACGUGAUUUAUACGGAUAUUAUACGUUCACCCAUUAAAAAUUCGGGAUCAAAAAUUCGGCUAUUAAAUUAUUUUUUUUUUCUCUCAAGAUUUAUGCUAUUAGCAUAAAUACUCAUAUUUUUUAAAAAUAUAAAAAUAAAAACCUAAAAAAUUAAACUAAUUAAGUAAAAAAAAAUAGUAAACUAUAUUAUGCCUCAAAAUAAAGAAAUAAUUAAGCAAAUAAGUGAUCAAAAUAGUCCAUAUUUAAAUGUAAAAGCUUCCAACUUUUGCUUUGAAGAAUGAAAACUCAAAUAGUACCUGGUCCCAAAGUUAUGUCUCAAAAAUUAAGUAGAAACCCCAGUGAGUCAAUGGUCCAUGAAAGACCACAACAAAAUUUUCCUUUUGCAAGUGUCGACAAAGAUCAUGAAAUUGAUUAGGUAUAAUACAAGAGUUCCUGGUCCCAAAGUUAAUUAAGAUUAUUUAUUUAGCACUAUGUUUGGGUCUUCUUUGUGCAUAACAGAGAAUGGACACAUUCAAUUAAGCACUCAGCCACUUGUGUAUAAAACAAGUAUCCAUCAGAUGACUAAAAGCUUCCAACUUUUUCUUUGAAGAAUGAAAAAAACUCAAAUCGUACCUACCUGGGUUUGUAAAGAACCACCCGGUUACUGAUCUAUCGUUGGAUAGCGGAAGCGGGAGAGGAAGCGGAAGCGGAAGCGGAAGCGGAAGAGGAAGAGGCGACGAGGAGGGUUUCGAUUUCUGAAGAGUGAAGAACCCGAUCUUCGAUCUUCGAUUUCUGAAGAGGAGGGCUUCCGAUGGCGUUCGGCGAGCGCCCGGAAGGGAAGAGGGAGACCGCCGCAGGGGUCGAUGGCAGGGCCGCACCGCCGCAGGAGUGAGAAGUUAGGGCAAACCCUUUUUUNNNNN
Molecule: long non-coding RNA, 59617 nt
Filed under: Ananas comosus (pineapple)
Lineage: Eukaryota; Viridiplantae; Streptophyta; Magnoliopsida; Poales; Bromeliaceae
Description: long non-coding RNA (ACOM_LNC022186)
Source: RNAcentral